RNAcentral lists this long non-coding RNA (62690 nucleotides) under Prunus persica (peach). Its description in RNAcentral is "long non-coding RNA (PPER_LNC003352)". Lineage: Eukaryota; Viridiplantae; Streptophyta; Magnoliopsida; Rosales; Rosaceae. The record is from RNAcentral.
GCAGGGGACUUUUGGCUGGGUACAGGCCAAUUGCCGAAAGGCGAAGGAGAGGGGUUAUUUUAUUGGACACAAGCCCACAACGCAAAAGUCCUGGAGGAACAGGUGGUGCAUGGCCUACGGGGACUGGGAGAGUCCUCCAGGGAAGAGCGUUGUCCAGCACAUUCCUACCCACUUCCAGUCUAUAGGUCCUGGGCCCCAUUCCUUAAGACUGUUUGAUGUUUGAUAGUGUUUUGCUGUAGCUCUUGUUCUUGGUUCUCUAUUUUGUCUGUGCCAGUAUAAAUGGCUAAGUAGUAUCUAACCUUUGGUGCAGGUUCAGUGAAGUGGGGGCCUAUCUCCAAGGAGCAGGAAGACGAGGUUGAGUGGGUGAGGGCGCAGCUAUCAGAGACUGAGCGUGAGUGCGGGAACCUAGUCACGCAGAAGAAUUUGUUUGAGUCCGGACUGUUGCAAGGAAGUAAGUACCUGGGUUAUCUUUUUGUUGUGUGCUGAGCCUUUGUGAGUUUGAGUAAUAGAAUUGCUUUGUUUGUUUUGACAGUGGCUGGCAUCAUAAGGGGGAGUACGAAGGUGGCCGUAGACAUUGAUGAGGCCGAGAUGCAGAAGCGGCUGAGGGAUUCUCGGGCCAAGAAGGCUGAGAAGAGUGCUGGAAAACGACCCAGGGAUGAUGAUGAGGGUCGGGUCGCGGACGUGCUGGGGAAAAGGAAAGCCUUGGAGGAGGCUCAUCAGCAUGUGAUGGGGUCAAGGCCGAGACUUCCGCCCUUUGAUCUGCAGGCACCGCCGAAGCUACCCUUCGGCAUGGAGGACGUGUUCGCUGAAGGGGUAGAGAAGGUAGACUUCGGCAGGCUACGCCAGCAGAAGAAGGAGGUCAACCUGGCUAUGCACCGGCAGGAGGUGCCUUUAGUGAACGUCUUCCUGGAAGGCGUGAAGAGCGACCCUGAGGCUCUGGCGAGGACUCCAGCUUCUUCCUUCAUUGACCGGCCCAAAAGACGAUCCUCACCUCUGCCUAUGUAAGUGUUUAGGCCCUUUUUGAAUGUAUUUGUGUUGGAUUAUUUUUGUGUGGAUUGACGAACAUGGUUUUUGUUUUGCAGGCCUUUGGCGAGAUGUACGUCAGCAUGGCCAAGGCUGACAAGGAGAUCCAGAGGCUGAAGAGGCGGGAUGAGCUAGCCAAGAGCAAAAUGGUGGAGGCGCAGGAGGCCAUCCGAGAGAAGAACGCCUUGCUGGUUCAGAAGGCGGCCCUGGCCAAGGAGGUGGAGGAGCUGAAGAAAUCGAAGGCCGAGGAGGUGGCUGCUGCCCGAGUCGAGGCGAUUGAGUCAUUCCGAUCCUCAGAGGAGCUGAAGAGCUAUAUCAUGGACCGGCUGGUUGAUGAGCAGCUUCGCUGGGAAGAUAGGUUGGUUAGGUUCAACCCCUCGGUUGAGAUCAACUUUGACAUGAGUGACGAGCCUCCUGCACAGUCUCCUCCUGCUGAUGCCAGUGUCCCGACACCAGAGGCGGAGCCAGCCACUGAGGAAGCCCCUUCCACCGAGUCUUGAAGGCGUUGCAUUCUGUUGUAUUCUAGCUAUUUUGUUUAUUUUUGCUUUGUAUGAACAGUUUGCCUGGCGUGGAGCAAGGUUGUUUUGCUUUAUGAUAUGAGACUUGGUUUGAUAUCAAUUGUGUUAGUAAAAAUGAUAACAAUGUGAGUGCAUGAGAAUGAGCCGGAGUCAGACAUUUCAUUGAAAUAGAUGCCGAAAGGCAGAAGGUACAAGUGGUCUAGGGUCUAGAUACCUUACUUCUACCUUACAGUAAAUAAUCAAGACCAAAGUAUUGUCCUAGGGUCUAGAUAUGUUUACUUGUAAUAGUACUUGAGGUGGUCAGCAUUCCACGGGUGAGGCAGCGUCUUGCCUGUGGAAUCACGAAGCUGAUAAGUGCCGGGGCGGCAGAUUUUGAUAAUCUCAUAAGGACCUUCCCAUGUAGGGCCGAGGGUACCUUCGUUGGGAUUUUUGGUAGCCAAGGAGACUUUGCGCAUGACCCAGUCCCCCAUUUUGAAAGCAUGGGGCUUGACUCGGGAGUCGUAAUAUUUGGCGAUCCGUUGUUUGUACGCGACAUUACGCAUGCUCGAUUGGUCCCGGAGCUCGUCAAUGAAGUCGAGGUUGAGGGCCAACUGCUCGUCAUUGGCCGUGGCAUCGUAAGUGGAGGUUCGGUAUGUGGGCUGGCCAAUCUCUACCGGAGCCACGGCCUCGGUUCCAAAUGAUAGGGAGAACGGCGUUUCACCCGUGGAUGUGCGGAAGGUGGUGCGGUAGGACCAGAGUACUUCUAGGAGCAGUUCUGGCCAGCAACCCUUGGCUUUGUCAAGUUUUGUCUUGAGGGUCUUCUUGAUAAUUUUGUUCACGGCUUCGACCUGGCCAUUGGACUGAGGAUGGGUUGGGGAGGCGAAACACAGACGAAUCUUGAGGUUGGAACAAAAUUGUUUGAAUUUGGCGUUGUCAAAUUGCCGGCCAUUGUCGGUGACGAUGGAGUUGGGGAUGCCGAAGCGACAUACAAUGUUUUGCCACACGAAGGAUUCGAUGCGAGCCGCAGUGAUGGUGGCCAAGGCAUCGGCCUCAGCCUACUUGGUGAAGUAGUCUACGGCCACAACUGCAUACUUGACUUGGCCCUUGCCCUCUGGCAUAGGUCCAAUGAGAUCUAGUCCCCAUUGGGCAAAUGGCCAAGGGCUGACGAUGGCAGUCAAUGGUUCAGCCGGGAGUUGUGGAAUGUUGGCAAAUCGCUGACACUUGUCGCAUUUCUGGGUGAAUUCCUGGGCGUCAGUGUGGAGCGAUGGCCAGAAGUAUCCUUGGCGGAUUGCCUUAUGGGCCAGCGAGCGUGCGCCCGAGUGGUUACCGCAUAUGCCUUCAUGGAUUUCUCGAAGGACAUAGUGACCCUCCUCUGGAGUCAGGCAUUGGAGGUAAGGAAGGCUGAAACCCCGCUUGUAUAAGGAGCCGUUAAUGAUCAGGUAACGGGCAGAGCGAUGGCGAACGCGUCGUGCUUCUGCUGGAAUAGCCGGUAGUGUUCGGUUUUGUAAGAACUGGAGGAUGGGGUCCAUCCAUGUAGGGCUGUGAUCAAUAGUGCAGAUGAGUGGGGCUUGUGUGCUGGGCUGGGCCAAAAACUCGAUGUGGAUGUGGCGACCCAUUCCUUGCUCCAAGGCUGAUGCCAACCUGGCUAGUGCAUCGGCAUGGCUAUUUUCGGAGCGCGGCACUUGCUUGAUAGAGUGGGCGUGGAAGGUCGCCAGCAAGUGCCGAGCAUGCUGGAGGUAGGCCGUCAUAGAGGCAUCCUUAGCCGUGAAGUCCUGGUUGACCUGGUGGACCACGAGUUGUGAAUCGCUGAAUAUCUGAAUUUGCCUGGCGUCCAUCUCUUUGGCUAAUCGAAGACCAGCUAAGAGUGCUUCAUAUUUGGCCUCAUUGUUGGAGGCUUGGAAUUUGAAGCGAAGGGCGUACUCGAGGGCAACCUUGUCUGGGGAGAUGAGAACGAGGCCGGCCCCACAGCCCUGGGCAUUAGAAGAGCCGUUUACGAAUAAAGUCCACAGGGGCUGGGUUAGGUCGAGAUUGCCUUCGGUGGGGGUUUGGUCCUGGCUGGGAGGGGGAUUGGGUUCGGUUAUGAGCUGGGUAUCUGCGGAAGUUCGGGGCUUCGUGAAUUCAGAUAGGAAGUCAGCAACGGCCUGCCCCCUCAUAGCCGGGCGGGGUUUGUAAUGAAUAUCAAACUCGCCCAGUUCAAUGGCCCAUUUGACCAGCCUCCCAGAAGUUUCUGGGUUCUGCAACACCUGUCGGAGCGGUUGGUUGGUUAAGACAUGGAUGGUGUGAGCUUGGAAAUAUGGUCGGAGGCAUCUUGCCGAGACGACCAGGGCGAACGCCAAUUUUUCGAUGUCCGGGUACCGAACUUCGGCAUCUUGCAAUGCUUUACUAACAUAAUGCACUGGGUGUUCCGCGUUAUCUUUUGAUCGGAUGAGCACAGAGCUAACAGCCNNNNNNNNNNNNNNNNNNNNNNNNNNNNNNNNNNNNNNNNNNNNNNNNNNNNNNNNNNNNNNNNNNNNNNNNNNNNNNNNNNNNNNNNNNNNNNNNNNNNUCAGGGGUUGACAAUAAAGGACCCGGCCCAAUAUACUCCUUGAAGCUCGAUGAAAGCCGGUCGCAUUCAGCAGUCUAGAUGAUGUUUCUUUGGUGCCUUUAAGGACCUUGAAGUAUUGGGGCGCAGCGGUCAGUGGCUUGGGAGAUAAAUCUGGUCAGGGCGGCGACACGCCCUGUAAGGCUUUGGAUAUCUUUGACCGUCUUAGGUACCGUCAUGUCUAAGAUGGCCUGGAUCUUUUUUGGGUUGGCUUCAAUACCCCUUUGGCUGAUCAUGAAGCCAAGGAAUUUGCCGGAAGCCACCCCGAAUGCACAUUUGGUGGGGUUAAGCCUCAUUUUGUACUGCUUCAGGAUGGUGAACAUGGCAGAGAGGUUGGGGAUGUGUUGGUCAGCCGUGCGACUCUUGACUAGCAUGUCAUCGACAUAGACCUCCAUGGUAUUGCCAAUCAGGGGGGCAAAGAGCUGAUUCACCAGACGCUGAUAAGUAGCCCCGGCGUUUUUGAGGACAAAGGGCAUCACCUUAUAGCAGUAGAGGCCGCGGUCCGUAAUGAAAGAGGUGUGAGCCUGAUCUUCGGGGUGCAUGAAGAUCUGGUUGUAACCUGAAUAAGCAUCCAUGAAGCUGAGGAGGGCGUGGCCGGCUGUGGCGUCGACUAGCUGGUCAAUGCGGGGUAGCGGGAAGCUGUCCUUUGGGCAAGCCCGAUUAAGGUUGGUGUAGUCGAUACACAUGCGCCAGCCCUUUCUUGGCUUGCGGACCAUCACGACAUUAGCCAGCCAUGUAGGAUAGUCAACCUCCCUGAUGAAUCCGAUGCUACUCAAUCGAUCCACCUCCGCCCUCAUGGCCUCAUAGCGCUCGGUUUCAUACGCGCGACGCUUCUGUCUGACUGGUCUGACGGCAGGAUUGACGCUAAGCCUAUGGGAUAUGAUGUCUGGUGAUAUGCCAGGCAUGUCAUUGUAGGACCAUGCGAAGACUUCGGAGUUGAGGCGGAGGAAGGCGACCAGGUCGGAGCGAAGCUCUGGCGAGAUGGAGGUGCCGAUCCGGACUUGUCGAUCCGGGAUAUCGUCAUGGAGGGUAACCAGCUCCAGGUCCUCCAUGGGUUCGGCCUGUGGUGCGAUGGACUCCUCCCUUGGGUCUUCAGGUGGUUCUGUGCCAGCUUGAGGAGGGGCGGGAGCCUUGGUUACUGCUAGGGCUUCACUCCUAGGUUGGUGAUUGGUGGAUUUUACUGCUGAAGCAUAGCAGCUUCGGGCCCCGAGUUGGUCGCCGCGCACCGUGCCUGGGCCAUUAGGAGUGGGAAACUUCAACAGCAGCAUAUGCGUGGAAAUAAAAGCCCUCAUUUUGGCCAAGGCUGGGCGGCCGAGGAUGACGUUGUAGGCUGUGGGGCAAUCGACGAUAAGGAAGGGGGUAGUGAUCGUCGUCCGCUGGGGUGCGGCCCCAAUUGAGAUAGGGAGAUGAAUGCUGCCAAUGGGCUGGACCACAUCACCCGAGAAGCUCACAAGGGGUGUGAUGCUUCGGUCGAGUAGGUGAGGCGGGACCUGGAGUUCAUUGAAGGCCUCAGCAAACAUCACACUGACCGAGCUGCCAGUGUCCACCAGGAUACGCCCAACGUCGAAGUUAGAAAUGUCAGCCCGGAUAAUGAGUGGAUCAUCAUGGGGGAGGAUAACACCACGCUCCUCCUCCUCGCAGAAGGUAAUGGGGGCCCAGCCAGUCCUGUGGGUCUUUGGCAAGCGUCCCUGCUCGGUGCUGAAGACCUGGUGCGCAUAGGUGGAGCGGACAUAAUGUUUGAUGGAGUUGUUGGAGGUGCCAGCCAGGGUAGGACCUCCGCUGAUGGUGGAGAUCAUGUUGAUUUGUCGUUGGUGAGGGUUAGGCGGGGCUGGUGUGUUGCGCACAUAGUUGUCCAGCUUGCCCUCCCGGAUGAGCCCUUCAAUUAUGUUGCGCAACGCAACACAAGACUCGGUGUCAUGGCCGCUGAAUUGAUGAAAGCGGCAGAAGACCCCCGUGUUUGGCAUAGGCUUGUUGGAUGGUCUCCGGGGGGGUGGCUUGGGGAUGAUGGGGGCUUCACGCACCAGGACGUUCUCAUAGGUGGUAUUGAGGGUCGUGAAAACCUCAAACCUGGGCCUGGGUGUGAAUGGAAGUGGGGCCCGAUCACCUGUCUUGGGAGGGUUGCUUCCGCUAGAGUGGUGGUGGUUGCCAUGUCUGCCACGUUUGUUAUUACCAAAGGGAUGCGGGUAGCUAUCCUUCCGCUUAUGUUGUUGGUUGUCCUGGGCACUCGGGGCAGGGGUAGAAUGCUGAGGUGGGGCUGGGGCGGGUGCUGAAGCAGGUGGAGGAUCAGCGAAAGCGUUGCGCAUCAGGUUGGCUGGGCCACGCUUGGAAUUGAAGUAUUCAGCCUUAGCAUGGACUGCCGCCUGCUUCAUCAGCUCUGCAUAUGUGUUCCAACUGUUGCUAUGAACCAGGUAGCGGAAGUUGGACUUGCGGAGGCCGCUCUUAAAAGCGCCGAAGGCAGCGCGAUCGUCAGUGUCUGGGCAGCGGGAGUAUUCAUGACUGAACCGAGCUGCAUAUUCCCGAAGGGGUUCGUCCUCAGCCUGCCUAAGCAUAUACAAGUCGUCGGCAGAGUAUAGGCGAUCAGUCUGGAUCAUAAAUGGUCCAGGAACGUCUGCUUGAGACUAUCGAAGGAGUUGAUGGUGCGGGGGUGGAGGCUGUAGAACCAAUUCAGGGCCGUGCCGCUGAGGGUGGAAGGGAAAAGGAGGCACAUGCCUUCAUCAGUGAGGCCUUUGCACCCAAGGGCAGACUGGAAGGAGUGGAUGUGGGUGAGAGGGUCCUCCGUGCCAGUGUAGAAAGCGAUGCGGAGUGGCUGGAUAUCUUUCUCCUGGUGGUAGUGGAGGAUGCGUUCAGUAAAGGGCCCUGGUCGUGGUUUUGCCCAGAGGGGUUGAUGGCUGCGAUGUUGUUCGCUUUCCAGGCGCCGGACCUUUUCAAAGAGAAGCCUCAUGGCCGGGUCGGCAUGAGGAAGAGUUUCAGGUGCCAAAGGCCUGGGGGCGGGGCAGACGGGGACUGGGGAUUGUUCCCAAUUUUCCAGCGCCCCGGCGUGGUAAUUUGGCCAGGUCUCUGAAUUAUAGAAUUCCCAAGUAUCCGAGUCCCCGACACCUUCCUCGUCGGGUAUGCGGACGGGGGCUGGCGAGGGGCCCAGGUGUGUCACCCGUGGGUCUUCGAGGUUGACAGGGAUAGGGAUCGGCCUUGGCUGACGGUCCGAGAGGCGAUCCCUGCAAUCUUGGUAGAUCCUGACUGGUUCAUGGGGCCGGUCCCUCGGUGGGGGAACGCAAAGGGGUCGUGACUGGGUUAUCUCCGGAUGAAGGUGGUCUUUACCCUUGCGGAGCCUAGCUUGGGCCGAGGCACUGUGGCUGGAAUGUACUGGCUGGUUCGGCUGAGUAAGCCUAACGUUCUGGGUGAGGUCUUGCUGGGCAUCCUGGGUGUGAGUCCUUUCCCAGUUCCGCUUUAAAACACGGUAGUCAUGUUCUAGCUCAACGUUCCUGCAAUGAAGGUGCUCGUAUUUUUCUGACAUUUUAGUGACACUGUCGCGGAGGCGCUCCACUUCUGCCUGGAGAGUGGCAUCUUCCGAAGAUUUCCUUCUAGAAGUACCAUCGCGGGGGGUAUGAUGCUGGGUAUCGCGGCUAUCCUCGGUCGGCAUAGCAGAAUGUGGGGUGAAGAAGAGGCGACGGGGCCUGAGGGGUGAAGGAGCCAGCUGGGCUGAUAGAGAAUGCGGGGAUUCAAGUGUCGAUUUUCCACAGACGGCGCCAAACUGUUGAUGCUCAAAAUGGCUCGGCCAAUAGUGAGUCCAACUUAGUGAUUAGGUAUGCGGGGUCUUCAGCAGGGAAGAGAGCUGAGGCCCUUGGUGAAAUAUAGGUUGAUGGGAAACCUGCAGAAGACAAAGUGGGAGAAGCAAUCGUUAAGCUUCGGACACCGGUGUGGUGCCGGCCGAAGGCUCUCCGAUGCCUAAGUCAGUUACAAGUAGUAAUUCUGGCAGAGUAACAGUAAAAGUGGGAGAAUAGUUACCCUUUUUACCUGGGUACUGUUCCCUAUUUAUAGGGAGGUGAAAGUAGGAGGUUUGCACAAAGUUCCGAUGUGGGACUUUGUGCAAGUCGUGGUGGUGGCGACACGUGUCCUGGAGAUUAGGUUUGGCAGCUGGGAGCUUCGGUAGGUGUCUGGCACCUCGGAAGUGUGUCUUCCUUCGGCACAGGAAAAGGCGUGGCUGCCUUGGUGCUAGUCACUUUGGUGCUAGGUCUGCUCGGUUCAUUAUGGUGUAAACACUAGGAAUAAAUCUUUGGAGCAAUUGAAAUUGAGGAAGGGAAUAUUAUUUUUAUAAUAUUGUUAUAAGGGUUACGAACUCCACCAUCAUACGUACCUUCCCUGGUUACUAUACACACACGUGCCGUAUUUUGGGCGUGUGGGCUCUCUUAGUUACGGAUCCUGGAAUUGUGAGAUGCAGAAAAAAUUGUGGAAAUUUGGAUAUGUUGGAACUCGGACGCCCUUGAACAGGGGUUCGUGGACCCUUAACAGGGUAGUCUGCGCACAUAGGACUGGUUACAGGCGUAUGAGUCUUGAGGAUUCGGCAAUACGUUCUGGCUGAGAGUUAGUCCUCCGGUUGGACGACUCGUUCCCUAGCCACAUGGUUGUUGAGGAUUCCUCCAUGUGGUCUAGUCAAACGAUCCCUGGAUUGGAUUAUUUUCCCCUGAUACAUGAUGAUGGUGAGAGGUGGAUGUGGUUACUUAUAUAUAAAUAUAUGGACACGCAUAUUAUAUAGGUACAUGUGGAUUUGUUUCCGGAUUGAGAUCCGUGAGGUUGUGCUUUGUGAUUACCCUGCACUGAUAUGGAUGUCUGAGUCCCAAAUUGGAAAGUGUUGUUUGGCAACAUACGGCUUGGAUAGGGUAUAGUUGCGCGGGAAGAAUUGAUAUAUUAAGGAAUCUAAAGUUAUUUGUUGGUGUUACUUAAAAGAAAAAUUAUAUAUCAUUGGAGCUGUGACAGUUGAUGUAGAACUACGUGUGGCUUGAUCCCUCGGUAAGGGUACGUAGAUAGUCUAGGGUCUUACCUAGGUGCAGUCGCGGACUAAAUUUUACUUAUGUUGUUUUAUUGAGUUUGGUUCUGACCUUGACGUUGGUCCUGAAACUCGGUUGAAAUCGAGGUGGGAUUAGAUAAUUGUUCAUACUCCCGUUUGGCUAAGAGAGGGUUGUGUAAAUGUGUUAUGGUCAAAACUGGAGUAAAACCCAUUUGAAUUGUUGUAUGGUUUGGACUGAGGCCUUAAACUACUUGUGUUUGUAUUAGAAUGUUAAACAUCACAUGAUGGAAAUUGGGAAGUCAUUUUAUGUUGAUUACAGUGGGCAUUCAUAAAAUGGUUUGAAUUAGUUAUUUGCAUUGUUUGGCGUAGUAUUUGACUUAAGAGCUUUGUUGGUGGUUUGAUUUCGGAUUAUUUGAAGGCCGGAGGCCAUUUAUUUGAAUUGCGUAUUAUUAUAUUGUGCAUGCUGCCAGUUCUUAAUAUUAAUUGUGAAUUUUGAAUAGGUUAAAUUUUUUUUUGGGAAAAUCCGAUUUACAGGGGAGACUCUACUGAAAUUUUGGCAGAAAGUCUUGUACCCUUUUUCCUUAAUUUUGGAAAAGAGGAUAUAAUUUCUAAAGUGGGCCCAGCAUCGAUGGGAUGUCGGGAAUUCCACAGAAUUCGUCCUAGGUUCUGAGGAAUUUGGGGCCGGUCCUGUCAUUUGGUUCGACUGUUUUGGUCAUAAUUCUUAUGCUUGACUUUUCUAGAUAGAGGAAUAGAUGCUAAACCAUACUAUUCACAAAAAUCUCCGAAUUCAUAUUUAGCUGAAUUUCUUUCUGACUGAAUUUUUUUUUACCUAUUUUCAUGUCAACACACAUUUUCAUUCCUACUUGGUUAAUUGUACUAAUAAUAUUUCCAUAAGUUAAACUAUCGAAAUCUAUGUGACCAUGAUCAUUACUUAGAACUGUUCGUAUUUUGUGUGUGAAAAGAUUGGGAAGACCGUUAACAAAUUUUUCUUUCAAAAAUGGUUGAUUACUGUCAUCUCUUAGCAUGACUCUAGAUAUAAAGAUAUCUUUGUACCAUCUGAAUUCACUUAACUUGGGACAGCAAAGGUUGCUAAGUUGAUCAUGAAUUCUGGCUGUAGUGUUACUAUGUGUUCCUAUGAAAUGUUCAAUUAUUGUGUAUAAUAAGGUAUUGACUCCUUCUUCUAUUCCCGUAUUGACAUUUUCAUCAAAUAUAGGGAAUCCAUCUUCAUUUAGUUUUACUGUCGUUUUGACUCUUCUGUGAGAUGUUUAUCCCACCAAGAACGUAAAGUUCCUGUAAAUCCUGUUUCUAAGAGGGGCACUAUUUCUGACUGUCUAAGGUUGUGAUUAGUGAUGUAACUAUUGGUGACCACAUACAUAUGCUGCAAUUUAUUUAUAAUUUCUUGUUCAGACAGGCCAUCUAUAUUCCAUUCAUAAAGUUUAUCAAAAGAGACUAAGAAUUGGCUUUGAAAAUUUCUUUCUUCAAACUAUAUAUCUGGGGAAGUUGGCUUAGGAUAUCAGUUCUUUGUUAAACUAGUGGGAUUUAUUUUACUCCUUAGUCUACUGAGUUUUAAAUUAUUAAAGGUGUUUUCUAUUUUUGAUACAUUACUAGAAUCAGUAUCAGUGUCAGGGCUUGACUCUGUAUCUAUUGGGUUUACUUGGAUGACCUUAAGGGUUGAGGAUGACUCUGGUUUAGUGGGUUUUUCUUUGACUGAUGUCAAUUGUUCAAGCAUUUCUUCUAUUUUCUUCAUUGUGGGAGUUGUCUUAAGUGUUCGACCAGGUUUUAGGUCUUGGAAUUUGACUAAAGGUUUUUCUUUCUUAGGUUUGGGGUUCACUUCUUGGGUAAGAAUUUUAUCAAAUUUUGUUUCUAUCUUAUCUAGUUGUUUUCCUAAAAUUAUUAGACUUUGAUUUGUAUAAUUACUUUGCUCAAUCAAUUUUUUAUCAUUUUGUUCAGGGAUUUUAAAGGGACUGGCAGUGAUUUUAGCAUUUUUAUGAUUAAUAAUAAUUGUUUCUACUAGUGGAUGACUAGCUAUGACUUGUUGUCUUCUUUUUUCCACUUUUCUUGCGUUAAAGUCUUUAUUUCUUUCCUUUGCUGAUAAAGAUUUUCAACAAAAUCAAGAAAGUAUAUUUCUGACUUAGUUUGCAACAUGCAAGUUUUCCAUUCAUUAAAAAUUUGUUGUCUUUAUUCUUUACUUGGAUCGGUUGUUCUAUAUCUAUUGCGUCUUUCAAUAUUUUCUUCUAACUCGAGAUGUUUGUCAAGAGUUUUCCAAUGUAUUUUAAAUUUCUUAUUUAGGGUUCUUAAUUGGUUAUCUACUGGGAUGGCUUCGUAUUCGAAAUCUGUUAGAGUUUGGUCCUUCAUUUUCUUCGAUUAGUUUUUUAUUGUAACAUGGGUGACUAACCUGGGAGCUUUUCCUAAGUGAUUCUAGCUUCAAGUCGAUUAGGGUUUUUUCUAAUUCUAAAUCUCUUUCUAGAGUAGAGGAGGAAGCUGCAAAGGAAUGUCUAGCAAGAGUAUGUUUAAACGAUGGACUAGGUGUUGGGAGUUGUUGUAUAUGUACUGAGGACUUGUGGGGCUGACUACUUUCCUUAGUUUUCAAAAUUUUCUCUGAUACUCCCUCAAAGAAAAUUCUCUCUUUGUAAAAUAUGAGUGCUACUCUGUGUGCUACUACAAGCUAUCAAUAAAAUCUUUCAAUCAAGAUUUUCAGUAAGUUUGUUUUAUUGCAUUGAUUAAAUUUAUUGCAUGCAUUUAUUUGAAUUUAAUUUCUUGAUUUCCAAUAUUUUCAUUCUCUCUGGCCUUUGACACCCUCCUGGUAUCAGAGCCGUAAGCAUUGAAGAGUCAUUCUAAAUUUGCUUCUCAUUCAGCCCAAGUGGCUGGUAGCUUUCCCUCUGAGUUAGAAGUUCAUCGGUAAGUUCAUACUGUUAUUUCAACGUUUGCUUGUUUGUCUGUCACUCUCUUCCAACCCAAACAAUAAGUCCUAGAUUCCAAACAAUAAGAUCCAUGUGAGGCAUGCGCGGAGAGAAAGAGAGUCUACAGGUUUAGGUCUACAAUAGAAUUUCAGGUUUUCUUCACCUAGAAGUGAAGAACCCGUAAGCUUCCUUAGAUGAGUCGUCUUUUUAGAACAAAGUCUUGUAACAGUAGCAGUUCUAGAGCCAGUAUUAGUAAACUCCCAGAAAUAGUAAAUGAAGAACAAAUUGAAUACGAAACUAGUAAUGAAAUUGAUUGGAACAUCCCCAGAGUUCCUAGUACAAAGAUUUACAAGAAAAAAUGGUCACUUUCAAGUUUCAAAAGUACAACCCAUGUGAAAACAGUCGAACAAGUCUAUGCCUUGAGUAAAGAACACGAAACAUGUCAAUUACUAAACCUUGAGUCAAUAAAGAAACAUAAGAAUGAUGGAAACAAUUUCCUCUAUAUUGGCCUCGUUCAAGUUGCAGUAAAACCCCUUACCAGGCUAGGACUAAAUGCUUCUAUUUUACUUUGCCUACGUGACGCCAGAUUUACCAACUUUAGUGAUAGUACCCUAGGAAUAAUAGAGUCAAGCUUAUUUAAUGGUCCAGUUCACUUUGACUGUUACACAGACUUCACAGUAAGCCUUAGUGAUCCCCACAUAUUAAAAAUUCUAACAUUAAACAUUAAAACUUCAGGGUGUAAAGUCUUACCAAGUACCCAACCUCUAGCUUUAGUCUAUAGAAUUUAUUAUAAAGUCAUAGGAACUAAUAUGAAUUUCCAAGCUCUAAACACUACUACAAAAAGUGAAAAAGACGACCAGAAAACAACGACGGUCUAAGUGAAAACCGUCGUGGUUUAUAAAAAGACGACGGUUCUAAAAACACCGUCGUGUAAUACAACCUUAGACAACUAAAAAAUGGAGAUUCAAAUGGCUGUUCAAAAACAACGACGUACAUAAUUAAACAACCGACGUCUAUUUGAAACAGAUUUCCGCAGUGUAAAAUCAAUGCCAACAAAGAACGGCAGAAGUUAUGAAUCGACCGACGUAGAAAGUAAAGACGACGAUUUCAAUAAAAACUGCCGUUUUUACUCAUAAAAUAACACGACGAGGUUUUCGUAUAAGACGCCGUAUAAUUACAAACAAAUCCACGGCUUUAAAAUACAAAAUAUCGCCGUAUUAAAUUAAUUUACAACGACGGAAAAUAUAAAUAUAUCGACGUCAUUAUCGUAUAGUUCUACGACGUUAUCUUUAAAUUGUACAAUAAAAUUUAACGUCGUAUUUAUUCAUUUUAUACGUCGUACCUUUAAUUUUAACGGUCGUCUUAAUAAGAAUUUUUGUUAACAAUUUUUUUCUUUGAUUUUCUUAUCCUACGUCGGUAGAUCUACUUAAUGACAAGAAUUGAAAUAACCACGACGGUUUAUAUAGAACACCGCCGACAUAAUCAGAUUUGUCUGAGAUCCCAAGGGUUACGAAAUCUUACCAGAUGGAACUCUGUUCCACAUCAUAAUCUUAACAGAUGACACAGAUUUGCAAAUAUUGCGUCGUGUUAGUUUACAAAUUCUAGAACAUUAAUUUCCCUCAUUUUAAAUUUCCUCGGGAAAGAAAAAUCUAUUUAUCACGCUUUGUAAUUGAAAACUAAAACUGAAAGAAUACGGGAAAAAAAACUCUAUUUAUAAUUUAAAAAUAAAAUCCACGUCGGUUGUAGUACACUUAACGACGUUUAACAAAAUAAUCUACGUCGGUAAUUAUAAAUCUACCGCCAUCUUACCUUAAUAUAGACGACGAGAAAAGACGACGGUAGAACAGAAAACCGCCGUUGUUUCAGUUUCUUUAACAGUUUGGUCCUUUAUCUUUCUGCAGGACUUGUAUAGUUCAAAGCAUUGACAAUGUCUUCAUCAUAUCUCCCAGCAACUACUGAUUCAAUUGCUCAUGCUUUAGAGGCCAUCUGAAGCCAUUUCUAUUCUUUAUCGCAUUCUUGAAACCCAUCUUCUUCUUCUGAAGCUCUACGGAUAAAGGAAGAGGCUAUCACAAAUCCGACGGAUCUUCUUAGGCAAGAAAAUCAAGCAGAGGAUCAGGCACAUCUGAUCUUCAGAUUUUCCUGAGAAGCGAACUUUCCUUCGACAGCGAGUGGAGGCCAGGCUUGCAUCUCUUUUGAUGGAAAGCAAGGAGUAUUCAGAAGCACUAAGUGUCCUAUCAGGCUUGAUCAAGGAAGUGAGAAGGCUAGUUGACAAGCUUCUUCUUGUGGACAUAUAUUUGAUGCGAGUAAGCUCAAUUUCUCUUUGAGAAAGACAUCCAAAUUAUUGUCUUUGAGACGUGAGAGACUGAGAGAGGAAGAACUUAGAACCCUAUAUGUAAACCAAAAAUGAAUGAAAGCGACAAAUUUAUAGAAUAAAUUUUUAAAACCAACAGCGGUCCUUACAAAAAAAACCGCCGUUUAAAUUUAAAAUCAACGUCGGUAUUAUCGACGUAUAUUACAGAAAUCCACGUCGGUAAAUUAAUAAAAACGACGUGUUAAAUAAUCUACCAUGACGCGAGUUAUUACUUAUGUACUUUAAUUUUUGAGUUUACUACGACGGUACCUACAACACUACUGUCGUAUUUAUUUACCACGUCCGAAGUUAAAUGUACCGUCGUAUUUUGUAAUUUAUACGUCGUAGUUAUAUGUAACCGCCGUAUUAUUUUUUUGAAAUGGUUUUAUAUGUAAGCAACUUUUCGUCUACCUGACAUACACAUGCGCUGUUUCCAAACCCGAUUAAAAAGUUCAAUCUCCCAGAGAAAACUUUUAGACUUUUUUCCUUGUCAGAGCACUGUCAGAGUAUCUCAUCGUCUUCCUCUCGUCUUCUUCGUCGUCUCUGAACUUAAACAUAAUCUUCCUCUUGCUUUCAUUGCACGCAAAAGGUAAGCUUUCAUUUUCACUAUUUUGGUUGCUGUUUUGCAUGCUCAUACGUUUUUUGUUUGAAAAAUCUUUUUACCUUUUUUCUGGCCAAAAUCAUUUUACUUCUUUCCAAGUUCGAUAAAAUAUACAGACAAAGAGGGAAAGUUUCCAACUUUGAAGACAACUACCUCAACUAAAUAAGACGACGGUAGCUUCUUAUUUACGUGGUUAAAUAUGUAGACCACGACGGUUCGUCAGUCGUUCUAGCGUCGUCUGAAAAUUGACAAAGUUGUUUUUAAAAUUAUAGUCUUUUUUUUAUUUGCUUGUUUAAUUGCAGGUUUGAUUUCUCUGAACAAUGGUUUUUGUUUUUCCCUAAUUUGAUAAAAUAUAAAGAAAAAGAAAGUAGGGUUGGUAUCUAAUAUAGACGACAGUAUCUUAUUGUUUUACGUCGUGUGAAUGUUAAUACCACGACGUCAUAUUAAAAUACCGUCGUCUAUAUAAGAUUCCAAAACUUUCUUUCUUGGCCUUGUAUUUUAUCAAAUUAGAAAACAAAAACCAUGGUUCAGAAAAAUCAAAUCUGCAAUCAAACAUUCACAGAGAAAGAAAGAAGGGUUUUGGAUCCUUAUAUAGACGACGGUAUAUUACGACUGACGUCGUGUGAACAUCAAUACCACGACGUUAUAUAAAUAUUUCGUCGUGUAUAGUUAAUUAUCACGUCGUUUAUAGUUAAUUAUUUCGUCGUUGUUUAAUUACCUUGGUUUUAAACAUUUAUUACGUCUGAGAUUAUUUCAUUGCGUCGUUUAAAAUCAUAUCAUACGUCGUAUUUUAUUAAUAACUGUCGUUUGUGUUCUUAAUCUUUUCCUGAAAUAUUUUCACUUGCAGUUUUGUCUGUAAAAAUGGUUUCUCACCAAGACCAAAGUAAGGAUUUUGGCUCCAAGAAAAAUGGAGGUAAGGACCUUGGAAUGGUACCUCCUCAAGUGAAGCCUUCGAAGAAGAUGAAGUUUGCUUCAUCAUCUGCUGAGACAGAACGAACCAGCACGACAACAAUCUCUGAUGAUUCAAAGUCUGGUCGAGGUAUGAGCACAAUGCCUCGUGUUGUGAAGAGAAAACUUCAGAAACUGAGGCCAAUUGUUGAGUACAAUAAAAGGGGGAAAGGAAUUGGCCAAGCACAUAGUGAGAUGCAGUCCUACAUUGGUGUGUUGGCACGCUCCAGAGUUCCACUUGUGGACAUGAAAUGGGCUCAAAUCCCCAAGGAUAUAAAGGAGCAGAUUUAGGAAGCAGUUGACCUUGCUUUUGUGGUAGGUCAAGGGGGCAAGAGCUCUGUGUUAGCUUCUGCUGCCAAGAAAUGGAAGGAUUUCAAGUCUACACUAAUGAGGCAAUAUAUCCUUCCAUACACCAAUGACAGGGAGAGAUUAAGCCAACCCCCUGAAACAUAUAAAUUCAUAGAGAAAGCACAAUGGGAUGCCUUUGUAGCUUCAAGGUUAUCCAAAGAUUUUGAGUCUGUGCAUUCUCAACAUGCACAGAUUAGGGAGAAACUCGAGUACAAUCAUCGAUUGUCUCGAAAAGGAUAUGCUGGUUUGGAGGAUCAAUUGGAGGAAACCAUGCCUGGGGUAGAAAUUGAUCGAUCUACCUUAUGGAAGAGAGCUAGACAGGACAAACAUGGUAACAUCCCUGAUCCAAAGGUGGCAGAGAAAGCAAAAUUAAUUGUAAGCCUACUCACUCUGUUUUAAAUUUUUAUUAAACUGUGAAUAAUUCUUAUUACGUCUUAUGUUAUAUUUUGCGUCGUGUGAAUGAUAUUACCACGUCGACAUAUUUUAAAAAACGUCGUUAAAGGUCUAAAUCAGGAAUCACAACUCUGUUUUCUGUAAUUAUAGCAUAAGAUGUCGGUAGUUCAUUUUUGCGUCGUCUGUAGUAAAUUACUACGUCGAAAUGUUUUAAACAACGUCGUUAAAGGUGUGAAUAUUGAAUCAUCCCUCUGUUAUCUGUAAAUAUAGCAUAAGACGUCGGUGGUUUAUUAAUUUCGUCGUUUUAAAAAGAUAACCACGUCGGUAUAACCACCGUCGUGAUAAAUUAUAAUAACGUCGAUUUAUAUGUUAUUGCGUCGUGUGAAAUUAUAUAAUACGUCGUUUGUAUAUAAAUAACCGUCGUGUGUUUUUGUUCUUACUUUUUUAUAUAUCUUUGUUUUAGGAUGAAUUGCAAAAAUAAGUCUCGGAAGGCAAAGUCACUGUUUCUGGCAGCAAUGAUGUGCUGACCAUGGCUUUGGGCCCCGAGCAUCCAGGCAGAGUCAGAGGAGUAGGUGCUGGGAUCUCACCAAGGCAAUAUUUCAAUUUACCCAAACCACAGAGAGUGAGCUUUGACGACCGUUUGAAGGACAGUUUAAGAGUUCUCCUUCAAGAAGAGACUAAAAAGAUGGAGGCUAAGGCAAGGGAAGAGGCUUUAAGGAUGGAGGCUAGAACGAAACAAUUGGUAGAGGCUGAGAGGGAGCAUUUCCUGAGUCAGCUUUCCCAAUUAAUUCCCAAUUUUGAUCCAAGCAUGCUUAAACCCAGAAUUAGCCAAAGUCCCAAAAAUCCAAUGUCUGACAAAGCAAGCUGCUCUGGAGGUGAUGUGAGAUCCCAGCAUUUUGAGGAUGAUACUACCAAAAAUGGGAAACAUCAGGAAGGAAAGGUAACAUAUCUGAACUUUGAAUUCUCUGUUUUUUUAAAAACCAUUAGACGUCGUUAUUAUUAAUAAAACCGUCGUUUGAAAUACAUACCACGACGAUUUUAAACAUAAACCGUCGUUUGUAUUUCAAUACCACGUCGUAUUUAGUUUACUUGUUUUACAUGCCAUUAAACGUCGUUAUUUUAAAACUUUGUGGUUUUUAGACGACGGAGUUAGUCAUUCCCAACGUAAUAGAUGAAGGGAAGACAGAAGAAAAACAUGAUGAAAAGGAGAAAGAAGAUGACGACCAGGUAUGUUCACAUAACUUUGCCUUUUUUAUUUGUUUUUCAAAAUUCCAGACGUCGAUAUUUUUCUUUGAACCGUCGUUUGUUUACAACUUAGACGGCGGAAUUUUGUUUAAGACGUAAUAAAUUAUUCACCAUGACGGUUUCUUCAGACGACGUUUAAAUUGUUUUCAGACGACGUUUUAUUCCUUAAACCGUCGUUUUUAUUGAAUUACCACGUCAUUUUUUUUAUUUCUUUAAACAGGUUAUUAAAGUUGUUGAUUAUUCAAAUAUGGAGGCGCCAUCUUCUUUAAACUCCCUUUGUCGUUAUGUGGAAACGACACUCGUGCCUCAGGAUAAGACCCUGCACUUUACAAUUGAUAAGGAGGUGUUUGGUCUAGAGCGCGAUACCUUCCUCCUGCCUGAAGAUAUUACACAAUUUGCAGGCAUGGAAGAAAUAGGAGCCACUGUCAUUGCUGUAUAUAUGAGGUUUGUCAUUCUAAAAUAAUACGUCGUUGGUGUAUUUAUUGCGUCGUCUUAACCAACUAACCACGUCGUUAGUAUAUCAUAACGUCGUUGUCUAUUUCAGUACGUCGUGUGAAAUUUUAUAAUACGUCGUUUUGUUAUACAUAACCGUCGUGUUUUUUUGUAUAUAUGAGGUUUGUCAUUCUAAAAUAAUACGUCGUUGGUUUAUUUAUUGCGUCGUCUUAACUAACUAACCACGUCGUUAGUAUUUACCGUUGUGAUAAAUAUAUUAUAACGUCGUUGUCUAUUUCAGUACGUCGUGUGAAAUUUCAGAAGACUGACGGUGAACAGAUUUUCCUGAUGCCUUACAAUCCAGGGUUAGUCUCCUUAACAGGAUUUUGUUUUUAUGAUUUUCAAUAAAUUACAGCGUAUAAACUAACCACGUCGGUAUUUUAUUUUAUUGAGUCGUUUGAAACUACUAACCACGUCGGUAGUUAUUUAUCGUCGUGAUAAAUGUAAAAUGUCGUCGACUGCUACUUUAUUUCGUCGUGUGAAAUAUUAUAAUACGUCGUUAUUGUAAAUAACCGUCGUUUUUAUAUUAAUUUUGUGCAGCCGUCAUUGGAUCUUGCUGAUUGUAAGAGCUAAGAGAGAAACCGUCUAUUUUCUGGAUCCUCUGCCAGGAAAUCGUGUGGUCGAUGAAGAGGCCAAAAACAUUGUGAACAGUGCUAUAAAAAUGUAUAAUUCUCACAUAGCCAGACCAGGCCGUAAGGCAGUCAUUUGGAAAACUCUGUCAGGCACACCAAAGCAACCCAGCAAUGUCGAAUGCGGGUAUUAUGUGAUGCGCUUCAUGAGGGACAUCAUCAUGGAUUCUUCCUUGGGGUUUGAGAAGAAGGUAAGAAGAAAUUACCUUCAUACAUUUUACGUCGUCUUUUGUAUUAUCAACGACGGCCAUGUAAAAUUACCGUCGUUGAAUAGAUAUAGUACGUCGGUUAUGAAAAAUAUCGUCGUCUAUGAUUGAAUUUCUUUUUAUUUAUAAACCCUAAUAGUCAUUGUUUAUGCAGUAUGCCAAGGGAAAACAGGAAGCGCCAUACCCCCAAGAAGCAAUUGAUGAAGUCCGGAAUGAAUGGUCAGAGUUUGUUUGCCUUCACCUGGAAUAGGGGAAUUAUUGAACACUUGAUAUUUAUGUAUAAUGUACAAAUUUUGUCUAUAAUAUAUAAUGUAAAAAUUUGUUGAGGUUUUCUUAAAUUAAAAAAAAAAAACAAACAUACAAAUUGCGUAACCGACGUGUAAUACUUUUCCAACGACGUAAUAAAGUCGAAAGCCGUCGUUUUUUGUUGUUUCGUUUUAACCAAAUCCGACGUAAAAGGAUAUUUAGACGACGUUCUUUGAACAAUUGAGUCGUUUAUGGUUUACAACGUCUUCAAUUCUUAAGGGUUCAGGGUAGUACUUUGUAACGACAGCGGUUAAGUCGUGGAAUAUAUAUUUUAUGUCGGAUAGUUAAAUAUCCGCCAUGGUUUCUCAUUUAAACGACGUCAUUUUAGCAACUUAGUCGUCUAUUAUAAUUUACAACGUCUAAAAUUUAUUAACACCGACGUGGUUUGUUGUUGUGAUAAGAAUAUUUUAUUAUUUUUAUAUCAAAAUAUUCAAAAUAAAUCUAAAAUAAAUCAGAAAAAUGCAAAGUCAACUCCUAUGAAGUCAUUGAUAUAUUUUCUUCCCCCUAAACCUUGAAAAAAUUCAUUUUGAAUAACAAAAAUUUAAAAUGACCAUCCAAAACAAAAUUGUUUUGAUGAGUCAUAAAAUCACUUCUAGUUUUAUGGUUUAGGGUUUAGAGUCUAGGGUUUAGAGAUUAGGGUUGUUAUUUAUUGGGGUUUAUUUUUAAAGUAUAAUUUUUGGGUAGUAUAGGGUAUAUAUUAGGCUGUAAAACCAUAAACCCUUUUAUAAACUUAAUUUUUAAAAUUAUAUAAUUUAGUUUUAAGGGUUUAGGGUAUUAAUUGUUAACGACGGUGGUUGAGUCGUGGAAUACAUAUGUUACGUCGUGCAGUAAAAUAUCCGACAUGGUUUCCACUUUAAACGACGUCAUUUUAAUAUGUAAAUCGUCUAUUAUAAUUUACAACGUUUUCAAUUUCUUAACUUCGACGUGGUUUUUCUGUCGUCUUUAUAUCAAAAUAUUCAAAAUAAAUUUAAAAUUAAUCCGAAAAAUGAACGUCAAAAUAAACGGCGUUACGUUCAGUGUUUUCGUCGUGGAAUAUUACAUUUACGUCGGUUCUUGUAGAACUUUCGCCAUGGUUUUUCUUUCGACGUUUUAAAGAGCGCGCGCUCUAAAAAUUUUCGCGCGCCCUAAAUUUUUUUAUAUUUGGCUCUUAUUCUUAUACUUCUAACCCUGAACCCUAAAAUUUUCAGAUUUCGCGCAACAUAACAUUCGCUCUCUCACUUCUGCUCUAAUUAAAAGUUGCACUCUCCAGGCUCCGUCGAAUCUGUGAGCUCGUCCAACCUGUAAGUACAAACCCUAUCUUCCCCUUGUAAAUUCAUAGAAUGAUAUUAGGUUGUUUUGUUAAAGGGUUUUAGGUAUAUGCUUUGUGAUCUGUUAAUAAUGUGCUUAUAGGUAUGGGUUCAUGGAUUUUCUCUUUAAUGGGUUCAUGGAUUUUCUGUUUAAUGGGUUCAUGGAUUACAUUAUCUGUUAUGUUGAAUUGGGAAUGGUUUUAAUUUUGUCGGAUCUUUUAAUCACCCUAUGUUAUGUUGAAUUGGGAAUGGAUUUAUUGUUUUCAUGCUUGGUUUCAUGUAUAUGUUGGUUUCUUGCUUGUUUUGUUAAAGGGUUUUAGGUAUAUGCUUUGCGAUCUGUUAAUAAUGUGCUUAUAGGUAUGGGUUCAUGGAUUUUCUGUUUAAUGGGUUCAUGGAUUUUAUGUUUAAUGGGUUCAUGGAUUACAUUAUCUGUUAUGUUGAAUUGGGAAUGGUUUUAAUUUUGUCGGAUCUUUUAAUCACCCUAUGUUAUGUUGAAUUGGGAAUGGAUUUAUUGUUUUCAUGCUUGGUUUCAUGUAUAUGUUGGUUUCUUGCUUGGUUUCAUAUAUAUGUUGUGUUCUUAAUGAGUUUUGGGUUCUUGAAAAUAAACUGAGACACGACGCCUUUUUAGGCAUACGACGACGAUUACACGACGGUUUAUGAAAAAACCGUCGUUGUAUUACUUAUACACGACGGUUUUUUCAUAAACCGUCGUUUGUAUUACUUAUAUUAGAUGACGUCUGUUGAAAAUCCGUCGUCUAUAUAUGCCAAAUACGUCUGUUUUUGUUUAAAACCCGUCGUCUCUGUUGUGUAUUACUUGCUAUUAGAUCUUUGUAUAAUCUGCUAUAGUGAUGGUCAUUGCCUAUAUUUUCACUUUAUUAUAGAUAAUAGGUUAUAGUGUCGAAGAUGGAUAAGUCAUGGAUGCACUCGGAUAGAAGAUCGAAGGCAUAUGAGUUUGGGGUGGAAGCAUUUUUGAACUUUGCUGUAGAAAAUCUUCUAACUACAACACAUAUCCGUUGUCCAUGUGUUAAAUGUGUUAAUUUGAAGUUGUUUGGGGUUGGAAUUAUAAGGGAUCACUUAUACUUUAAUGGAAUUGACCAAAGCUAUAAGAAUUGGACAUUUCACGGAGAACCUUGGGAAGCAACUACUAAUGCUAGUAGAAAUGUUGAAGAAGAUGAUGGCCAUAGUAGGUACAGUUUUGUGUCUGAAGAAAUUGAUAUGGAUGAUAAUGAUUUUGGUGAUUUUGGUUCCGAUCCGUAUGAGUUUGCCAAUGUGAUUGGGGAUGGAGAUCAACCAGUGUACCCUGGUUGUAGAAAGUACACGAAGUUAUCGGCAUUAGUGAAGUUGUAUAAUUUGAAGGCAAAACAUGGGAUGAGUGAUGUCUGUUUUACAGAAUUAUUGAUACUUCAAGGCGAUUUGCUUCCAGAAGGAAAUACAAUACCAACCUCUAUGUAUGAGGCUAAAAAGACUUUGUGUGCAUUGGGGCUGAGUUAUGAGAAAAUGCACGCAUGCCCCAAUGAUUGCAUCUUGUAUAGGAAGGAGUAUGAGGAUUCAACUAAUUGUCCUACUUGUGGUAUCUCAAGGUGGAAGGAAGGCAAAGAUUCAAUCUUGAAAGAGGGUGUGCCAGCGAAGGUGGUGUGGUAUUUUCCUCCAAUUCCAAGGUUUAAAAGGAUGUUUCAAUCACAUGAGACAGCUAAGAGUUUGACUUGGCAUGCUGCUAGAAAAUCAAUUGACGGUCAGAUGUCUCAUCCGGCGGAUUCCCCGUCUUGGAAACUUCUUGAUGAUAAAUGGCCUGAGUUUGGUAAUGAGCCGAGAAACUUGAGAUUGGCUCUUUCAUCUGAUGGAUUCAAUCCCCACAGUUCUCUAAGUAGCAGAUAUAGUUGUUGGCCGGUUAUCUUAGUUACAUAUAAUCUCCCUCCAUGGCUGUGCAUGAAACGAAAGUUCAUGAUGUUAACCUUAUUGAUUUCCGGUCCUAAACAACCCGGAAAUGAUAUAGACGUCUACUUGGAGCCUUUGAUUGAUGAUUUAAAAUCUUUGUGGGAUGGGAUUAGAGGAGUGUAUGAUGCACAUAAUGGAGAAUACUUUACACUCAGAGCUGCAUUAAUGUGGACAAUUAAUGAUUUCCCCGCCUAUGAAAACUUAUCUGGUUGUGUUGUUAAAGGAUAUAAAGCUUGUCCAAUAUGCGGCAAUGAUACACCUAGUCACAGGUUGAAAAAUGGCCACACAAUUUGUUACAUUGGGCAUAGAAAAUGGUUACCAAUCAAUCAUCCAUAUAGGAGGCAACGUGCAGCUUUUAAUGGGAAACCUGAAUAUGGCAUACCUCUCGAGCCAUUAACCGGAGAAGAAGUGCUGCAUAUGGUUGAAAAUGGUGACAGAGUUUGUUGGAAGAAGAAAUCAAUAUUCUUUGAUCUCGAGUAUUGGAAAUACCUUCCUGUGAGGCAUGCCCUAGAUGUUAUGCACAUUGAGAAGAAUGUUUGCGAUAGUUUUAUUGGUACAUUGCUGGAGAUCCCUGGAAAAAAUAAAGAUGGGAUUGCUGCUCGAUUAGAUUUAUUGAACAUGGGGGUCAAAACUGAUUUGCAACCCGAGUAUGGAGAAAGACGUACUCGUUUGCCUCCUCGCGUUGGAAUUUGUCAAGAGCAGAGAAGAGAGAGGUUUGCAAUUCUUUCUAUGGUAUGAAGGUCCCUGAAGGUUGUUCUUCAAAUAUUAAAAAUCUUGUAUCUUUACAAGAUUCAAGACUUCUUGGCCUUAAAUCACAUGAUUGUCAUACCUUAAUGCAACAAUUGCUCCCUGUGGCAAUUCGUUCUGUUUUGGAGAAGCCUGCAAGGUAUGCAAUAACUCGUUUGUGCUUCUUCUUCAAUGCUAUAUGUGCAAAGACUGUUGAUGUUUCCAAGCUAGAUAAGUUGGAAGAAGAUGUAGUAGUUACUCUGUGUUUGCUUGAGAAGUACUUUCCCCCUUCAUUCUUUGAUAUCAUGGUUCAUCUAGUAGUACAUCUUGUCAGAGAAGUUCGUCUAUGUGGGCCAGUAUAUUUUAGGUGGAUGUAUCCGUUUGAAAGAUAUAUGAAAGUGCUGAAGGGGUAUGUUCAGAAUCGUACUCGUCCCGAAGGUUGCAUUGCUGAGCGGUAUAUAGCUGAAGAAGCGGUAGAGUUUUGUACUCAGCAUUUAUCUGAUGUUAGUACAGUUGGAGUGCCUUCAAGCCAAAAGAUGGGACUUUCAAAGCCAUUAUCAGGUUGCACAGUGAGCGUAGUUGAUCAGGACCUGUUGAAUCAAGCACAUCUAUAUGUCUUGGAGAAUACGGAGGAAGUCCUACCUUAUAUCGAGUACGUAUGAGUUUUAUUCUUUAAGUUUCCAUUUUAAAUUAUUUCUUAUGUUUAUCUUCUAUAUUUGGGACCGUAAUGCUUGAAUUUUUCGUGUCAUGUAGGCAACAUAUGAUCCACAUCAAGACUGCUUAUCCAAAAUUUAGAAAGAGAACAAAGUGGCUGCAGGAUAAGCACAAUAGUACUUUCAUUCAAUGGCUACGCUUCAAGGUAUAUGUUGUUGAAUAACAUAUUUCUCUUUUAAUUUUCUUCUUAUUUCUAUGUUAGAUUGAAUUAAGAUAUAUGAUUAAUUUGCAGGUUCAAAGUGAACUUGAGGAAGACAAUCAUGGCGUAUCAGAAAAUUUAAGGUGGCUAGCAGCUGGUCCAAACAUGGCAGUGCCAUUAUAUAGGAGCUAUCUUAUUAAAGGUAUUAAAUUCAAUAUCAAGGCACAAGAUGAUGUGCGGACAACUCAAAAUAGUGGAGUUUAUUUACUUGCACAUACCAUGCAAGUUGCUAGUGCCAAGGAUAAAAACCCAAUUCUCUCAAAUAUGGGUUUCUAUGGUGUCAUUCAAGAAAUUUGGGACCUUGACUACCAAAAGUUUACAAUCCCAGUCUUUAGGUUUGAUUGGAUAGAUAGUUCUGGUCUUGUAGUCGACGAACUUGGAUUUACCCUUGUAGAUUUGAGUAAAAUUGGACAUAGGAAUGACCAAUUUGUUUUGGCUUCUCAAGUCAAACAAAUAUUUUUUGUUGACGACCCGAUGCAUCGUGGUUGGUCGGUAGUGUUAUCAAUGCCUAAUAGAGAAUAUAAUGAUGUUAUUGGUGAUGAAGUCUUAGGUGAUGUGAUAAUUGAGUGUGAGCCAUUUACUAGAGGGAUGCCAAAUGUUGACACAUUUGAUGAACUGGUGGGUGAGUUAGGCGGUCAAAAUAUUCGAGAUGGGUGUGAAGAUAUAUGGAUUGAAUGAUGCUUAUGUAAUUGGCAGUGUAUGACAUUAAUUUUGUAAUAUAUUGUAAUGUGAUUUCUUCACUUUCUACAUUCAAAUAAAACACGACGUUAUUGUGAACCAGUUAUUCAGCAUAUUUACCGACGUCUUAAAGCAACGUAACAAUGAAGAACCACGACGCUAUUGUGAAGCAAUUAUUCAGGAUAUCACGUCGGGGAAGGAUUAAGAACCGCCAUGUAAUUCAAAAUAACACGACUCCAAUCUCAUAAUACCGACGUCUAAAAAACGAGAUAUAUAAUCUGAACGUUAAAAAAUACGACGUCAUCAUACAUUUUUCACGUCGCAAGUUCUUUUAUAAACGAAGAGGAACGAAAUGAAUUCCGACGGUAAUUCAUUAUAACCGCCGUCUAAUAUCAAUUAAACGACGUUAUUUGUAAUACGGCUCUCUCAUCGCAUUUCAACGUCAACUAUAUAAAUACAUACGUCGUAAAUAAUGACACUGACAACUAUUUCCACGUCAUCUUUUUUAGAAAAAUCGAAGUGGAAAAUUUAUUUCACGACGGUUGUUUGUAAAUAAGAGACGUAGUAUAUUUCAAUAACGUCGUCUUCUCAUGUAUUUAAAGACGUCAUAUUUUUUCUUGUCGUGAAAAUUAUAUUUGACGGCGUAGUGUUUUAGUUGUCGUCGUUGUAUGUCUAUUUUGCGGCCUUCUUCUUUUAAUAUGUGUCAUAUUUUUCCUUUUUAACGACGGUGAUUUGUUUGAGUUGGUCGUCUAUUCUCAUCCUCGACUAUUUUUUAGAACUUUAGCAGACUAAACACGUCUGUUUUUAUUUGUUUUCGACGUUGUUUUAUUUAACAACGUCUAAUAUUUAUCGUCGUUGUUUGUUUCAGAAAAUAGGACUUAUAAAUUUUGUAAUACGACUCUCAUAUAUUUGUAACUGACGUUGUUUCGUUGUUCAACGUCUACUCUAUAAAUACAUACGUCGUAAAUAAUGACACUGACAACUAUUUCCACGUCAUCUUUUAUAGAAAAAUCGAAGUGGAAAAUAUAUUUUACGACGGUUAUUUUUAUAUAGGCGACGUAGUAGGUAUCAAUAACGUCGUCUUCUAAUGUAUUUAAAGACGACAUAUUUUUUAUUGUCGUGAAAAUGAUAUUUAACGGCGUCUUAUUUUAAUUUUCGUCGUUGUAUGUGCCAUGUUCUGUUAAUAUGUGUCAUAUUUUUCCUUUUUAACGACGGUUUGUUUAGAGAGUUGGUCGUCUAUUCUCAUCCUCGACUGCUUUUUUAGAUCUUUUUGCAGUACACAGACGUCGUUUUGUAUUUGUUGAUGACGUUGUAUAUUGUAACAACGACGGUGAUUUAGCGUCGUGGUUUAUGAGGGAAAAGAUGACGGUGGAUUCCACGACCAUUGAAAAACCGAAUACACGACGGUGAUUUACCGUCGUCUUUUUGCUUUUUUGUAGUAGUGAAAUAAAAGUCCAAAAGACCAAACCUUUCUUAUCCAAAGCAAUAAAGCCGAUGCUAACAUAAGAGUCGCCCAUGCACUUAAGUGGUCAGAAGUAACUCUACCCCUAGAUUGGACACUAGCAACAGAAAAUCAACCUGCUCCUAUUCAGCAUAAUUUAAGCAAUCUAGAUUAUAUUCAACAAUAUUUAGAUGGUAUAAUAAGGUAUUGACUAGGUGUACCUAUGAAAUGAUUUUAAAGAUUGGAAUAUCCCCAGAGUAUUCCAAUAAUUGAACAUGACCUAUGAAAUGAUUAUAGGGUUUAAGUAGACCUAGCAAACAGGUCAUGUUUGUAAUGUAGUGUUUGUGCCAUUAACGGGUUGACACUACACAACCCGUUAAGUUAAUGGAUGAAAAGUACCAGAUAUGAUCAAGACCUAUUACAAUUCGCGAAUAACACGAAAUGACCCUUUUGUUUGUUAAGAAUAAAAUAAAUAUAUAUAUGUAUUCCCCUUUUGUUGAGGGAUCUCUCAAAUAAUGUUAUUGAAGGACACCCUUUAGGGUUCCCUACGAUUCUUUUUUUUUUUCAACGAUCUAAACCAUCUAUUUAUUAAGUCUACAUUCAUAGAUCAUCCUUGUAAAAAAUUAGACAAAUCAAAAAUUAUUUUGAUAAUAAAUUGUAUCCUACAAAAUCAAUGAACACCAUACUUCAAGAAGGUACUAUAUAUACAGGGAGCUUCAAUUGAGUGAUCCCUCAAAUAGGCUUAUUUAAGGGACACCCUUGUAGGGCCCACUCGGUAUUGUAUUUUACUAAUCUAAACUGUUAUUUUGUAGAUACUCAUUCAAAAAUCAUUUCUACAAAUAAUCACUUGAAUUUGAUAUCAUUUGACUACUCAAUUGAACUAUUGAAAAAUUAGACAAAUCGGAAACCGUUUCAAUAUCUAAUUGUGUUCUACAAAAUUAAUGAAGAGGGGUUUUGAGUUGCAAUGAUGGACUCGCAGUGGAUGAAGCAGAUGUGGCCAAAAAAUAAUUCUUUCAAAGUGUGGUGACAACUGUUGAUAACUGAUUGGUUGGGGAUACUUAGUUGGAAUCCUUACCCCGGCAUCAUCAUGCCCGAGAAGUUUUUCUCCUUAUAUGUGGCCUUUAGGUGAGGUCAUAUUUCCUAACCGUUGGAUUAGGCUAACCAAUUUAAUCCAAUGAUUAAGAGAUAGAGCCCCACCUAAAGGCCAUACAGAAUGCCCUCACUAUAGAAUUCUUGUUGAUUUCAUAGCAAUUGGGCUUUUAGAUUUAAAAUUUAUAUUUUCAAGUGUUUAAUUUUUUAGUUUGAUUUCAUUUUUUUUUCCUCUUUUUCAUUUAUAAGGGUUUGGUAGGGUGUUUGGUUGAUGAGAAAUUGUAGGAAAUCAGACCACAUGUAUGCAUACGCAGCCCUUGCCUUUUUAUUUUGCAAGUAAAAUUAUUUGGGAUUGUCUGUCUGUGAGGAAACGAAGAACAAACUAUUGGGUUGGGGGGGGGGGGGGGGGGGGGGGGGGGGGGGGGCUUGUGGGGCGAAAAAGAGAAAAAAAAAAAAAAAAAAAAGGGUUUUCUUGUUUGGUCUUUUUUUUUUAGGCCAAAAAAAAACAAAACUUAUAGAUGUUUCGUUCCCUUUCCCCCUACCCGGGCCAAAGGGCCCCCAUUUUUCCCCCCCCCCCCCCCAAAACAACCAUAAAACAUUUUUUUUCUUCCGAGAACCCCUUGGGGGCUGCCCACCACUGCGCGACACUUCUCGCACCCCAAAACACCCCUGGGGCUUUUCCCAAAAAAAAAAANNNNNNNNNNNNNNNNNNNNNNNNNNNNNNNNNNNNNNNNNNNNNNNNNNNNNNNNNNNNNNNNNNNNNNNNNNNNNNNNNNNNNNNNNNNNNNNNNNNNAAGUCAACUGAUACUAUUUUUUCUACGAAUCGUAUGUGUAGCAAAUCAUGGACAAUACUAUCAGAACCAAACAGUCCUAGGAUCUUUCAAGAAAAAUAAAACAUGUCCUCAGAUUAGAUUGCAUUUUGCAUUGCAUUUCUGUACGAAGUCAUUGACCUUGACGCAAUAGUUAUGCCGCGCUCACGCUCGAGGCUGAUGGAGUCCAUGGGACGUUCAUGGGAGAUGUUUCCGCAGCAUUGGCGGAGGAGGAGGUCCAUGAGCAUGAUCUUGCCGUGGUCAACUUCAACUAUUACCCCCACAAUAGAGCCGGUUUGGGUUCAACGCGAUGCUCGGUGAAGUAGCAUGAAAGGCCACAAUGGCUGCCGAGAAGGUACAUGCAAGUGCAGAGGCUUGUGGGGUUAGUAGGAAUGAUUUGGGGGCAAUGGAUGGAGAUGACGAAGAGAAAGAGUUGCUAAGUGUGAGUGACCAGGCAAUUAAGGAUAGUCUCUAUGCUAUUGGCCCUUACAAAGCUCAAGACUUGUGCCCAUUGUCCAAGAUUCCUUUGUGGGACUUUCUUUUUCUUCUUCUUGACUUGACUCAACAACCCUCCCAUUUAGGAUAGAACUCUAAGGGUAUCUCUGAAGCGAGUGGAAGACCACAGAGAGUGAAGCAACGACCAUUUCUAAAAACUAAGAGAAAUGGCUGAGUUCUGUAACUUCUUUGGGUUUUACGUUGUUGUUUAUAACCGAUUGGGUUUAAGACGUUUCCCUCUAGGUCGCGACCACCAAAAUAGAGGAAGAAAAAAAGGGUUCAAAAAGUUUGGUUUUUGGGAUCAACUUGAUUUAUAUCGGAGGCGGUUGUCGUACCCGAACAUUCCAAAGCAUCCAUUACCAAACCAAACCGACAUAUAUUUAUACAUAUUUCUUCUCUUUAUAAUGUACACAUGUCAAGCUAUGAUUGGUUAUAGUAAACACGUGGCGAUAUGUUGUUCUUUAAAAUAGACAUUUCUACAUUAUACUAGAAUUGGCUACACUACAUCACAGACCACGGAAAUAUCGGAGUCGCCUCUUCUUUCUUCUCCAUUCGAUCAACUCUCUCUUUCAAAAUCUCAUUUCCUCUCUCUUGCAAAAUUUUGAUUCCCUCUCAUCUCUGUUCUCUCCUCCUCAUCAAUCAUCUUCUCCAUCUCUAUUAUUUGAUUGAAGCACCGUUCUCUUCCACAUAACCACCACCAAUCCCUCCACUCUCCACGAGAUUUCCCUCACCUCUGUCUCCUCUCAUCACUCGGUGGGUAAAUAUCAUUUGCGCCAUUUUUUGUAUGCUUGCAAUUUUAUUAUGUUUAAAUUAGUUUUGGAUAUUGAUUAAGGGUGCUGAUUGGGGUUUCUGCUAGUUUUCUAUGUAAACAAGGAUGGCGUUUGUUGGAAUUUCCAAACUCGCUUAUUGCACGUAUGCUUAAGGGUCACUACUUUCCAAUCUCUAAUUUUCUUGUUGCUUUGAGUGGGUCGCUUCCGUCGUUUACUUGGCAAUCUUUACUGUGAGGGCGGGAUUUGCUUCGGUUGGGUCUUAGGUGGCGUAUUGGCGAUGGCCGUUUGGUUAAUAUCUAUGGUGAUUCUUGGGUGCCUUAUGACAAAGUUUUUACUAUCCAAUUGGUACCUACUCUUCCCUCUACCUCUCGAGUUUGUGACCUUAUCACUGCGAGUGGCCAGUGGGAUGUUGGGAAGAUCUAUGAUGCUUUCUGAUUUCCAGAAGCUGAAGCUAUCCUCUCUAUUCCCCUAAUGGGUGAUACGCUGGAUAGGAGAAUCUGGAAUUUUGCAAAAAAUGGGAAAUAUUAUGUUAAAAGUGGGUACUGGACAGCCCUAGAGUAUAAGCGGCUAGAGGAGUUGUAAGCUGGGAGUGUCGCUGGUCCCUCCUCUCAUUCUUUAAAGAUUUGGAAGCAUUUAUUCUGAUAAGUAGUCCCUUUUUGUAUUCACUGUGGGGGUGUUGUGGAAUGAAAGAAAUGGGGUGCUGUUUGGCUCUCAACCCACCUCCCCUGGAAUUUUGGUUCAACGUGUGAAGGACUAUGAUGAUGAGUUUAACGGUCUUCUGUUGUCAAUCAUAGGAGUUUAUCUUCCCCGGUUCGUGAUGUUAAGUGGAAGCCUCCUACAGAUAGGUGUUUAUAGCUGAAUGUGGAUGGGGCUGCUGACAUGGAGAUAGGAGUUAGGGGAGCUGGUGCAAUCAUCCGUGACUCUCAAGGAAAUUUGAUUGGGCUUCUGGCUAUGCGUGCUCCAAGCACGAUCUCUGUGCUUGCCACAGAGCUGUAUGCUCUUAAGAUCAGAAUCUCUUUUGCGUUAGAUGCGUCUUUGAUGCCUCUGGAGAUUGAGACCGAUUCCCUGCUGGCAGUUUCUAUGGUUAACAAUGAGGAGGAUUGCCUUGUUGCUGAGGGAGGUUUGGUGGAAGCGGUACGUUGCCUUCUUGCCAGCUCUGCGUCUUCUCCUAUUAGACAUAUCCCUCGCCAAGCGAAUAAGGUUGCCCAUCGAAUUGCUCAUUUUAGUCUCCGUGAUCAAAGUCUGUCGUGCUGGAUGGAUGUGGGUUUGUUGUGGCUUAUGGAUGCUGUCUCUGAUGAUAGGCCUGAGUCUAUUGUCAUUGGUUAAGUUUUUCAAGUGUAAGCUGGCAUAUGCGGUACUCUUUUUCCUCUCCUAAAGUUUUCUCCCCUUGGGUUUUCUUUAGGGAGGUUUGAACAAGGCCACUCUUACCUAUGCCGAAAUAUUUUGUCAUGCUGAUUUGAUUAAUGAAGUCUUUUACCCUAAAAAAAAGUCUCUCUCAAUUCUUAGUGCGGUGUUCUUAGCUAUUUGCUCCAAAAAUUGUGCACAUUCAUUGUUUGAAGUGCUCCCUCUCUUGGCCUUUGCCGCCUUUCUCCCAAUAGUUCUUCGCGCACGUGGGAGUAGUGACUCCGUUUCCACUGGGGAGUCUAAUGGCAAAUCGGUUGUUGGCGAAUCAUGGAGCGGAGUCUCAUUCAACACAACCAGCGGACCUGUGGGAAUAAUUUUAAAUCUCGAACAAUCCUUCACAACUUCCCAACAUUCGUGAUGCAAGAAACUUUUUUUGCCUUGCCCCAUGGCACCGAACCAAGCUUGUGCUUGUAUGAUCUAUUAAAAAUAAAUAAUUGGAAGUGCAAGAAAAUAUAAACAAUUUUGAAAUGCAAGAAAAAAAUUGAUUACGCAAGAAAAUAUAGACAACUUGGAUAGAUUUUGACCGCUUCUAAUGUUCUCCCUUGCUUUUGUCAAGGUAUUUCUCCAUUUCCCUAACUCUCUAUUCAGAAUUUUCCAUCUACUAGACAAGGCCAUUUCGGUCCGAAUGGAACCUGAUUUUUGACAAAAUUCUCCUUGAAUUUUGCUCCACAUAUGAGAGAACUUCAUCUCAUUGCCCGCGACAGGGCAAUGAUUAACAUUCACCCAAGAUUGACACAACGUAAUAUCUUCCUGAGUUAUCCACGCGCCUCUGGCUUCGACAGAAGAUGCCAUUUGUUUUUUGAUACAAACGGACAGUAGUAGAAAAAUGUGCGUGGAAAGUAAAAAAUAUUGGAAGGAGAAGAGUUUGUAUGAAGAUUUGGUGUGGAAAGUGAAUAAUGUGAGUGGAAAGUAAAAAAUAUUGAAAGGAGAAGAGUUUGUAUGAAGAUUUGGUGUGGAAAGUGAAUAAUGUGAGUGGAAAGUAAACAAUAUUGAAAGGAGAAGAAAUUGUAUGAAGAUUUGGUGUGGAAAGUGAAUAAAAUUGUUUGGGUAUUUUCAGAAUUUUUUUAGCCAAAAAAACGAGGGCUGUCGGAUUUCUAGAAAAAAAAACUAUCAGAGCGUCUGGGUUGCGCCACGUGGCAUUUUUCCGUUGGGUUAUGUUAGGGAUGACGUCGAGCUGACGUCAUCGAGUGGAAGUCAAAUUUUUUUACCGUUGGCGCGUGAAACUCACCCGCGCGCCAACGGUAAAAAAAAUUUCGAAUUGUGCUCACUAACGUCAGCACCUUCGGGAAGCCCAAGCAAGAUCUGCCCUUGGGCUUGCCAGGGCUGGUGGGACUCAGGGCUUGCCCGGGCUGCUUCGCGUGAGCUGGAGGUUCAAACCCUAGAAAAGGGGCCUCUUGCCCUAGCAAAAUGGGCUGCAGUGGAGGUGGCCUAAUGAUCUCGUGCAUAGGGGUAGUCAUUUGUUGGAUCCCCUGUCAUAAAAUUUAUUUUUCUGAGAAAAGCCCUGAUUUUCCUUCACGUGACUUCUUGUUGCCUCUAUCAUACUAUUUUUUAUGAUGUAUUUUUUUGUUCAUAGUCCACUGCACUGCAUUCCUGUUUAAUGGGUUUUGUUUUUGUUUCUUAGUAGCCUUUGGGUACUCGAUGCUCUAUUAUUUGAUAGUUUAUUCAUUCAGUUCUUUGUUGUUCGUCUAUUAUUUCAUUACUUGUUUUGAUAAUCUACUGCAGUCACUUCUUUCUUCUUCGUCUAUUUCUGUGAUUAUUUGUUCAUAACAAGUAGGUAAAUUACCCCGGAGAAAUUUACAGGUAGAUUAAUUACCCUUACAGAAAUUUAUUGGGUAAUGAUGUGUUUUUAGUUGUAUAAAUAUAAUUGGUCAUCUGCUCAAAUUUGUUUUAUAGCUCGCAUAGUUGUUUUUUUUUUUUUUCCGUCCUUUGUCCCUCUUGCUAACCACAAGGGUCAGCUCUGCUUUGAGGAACGAAGAGGAAUUGUUGGAUCAACACCAAUGCCUCGAUCGAAUGGUGUCUCUUGGCUCGCAUAGAGGACUCCUUCAAUUUCUGAAUAAAAUUGAAAGUUGAAUCAGUUUGCCAAAAGGGGACGGGCCCGAUCAAGGCCUAUCUGCCAACUUCUUCUUAGUACUGACCCCUUUUGUUGCGUAGGCGUACCACUAUUGAGUAAAUAACCAGCCCAAUAGAUCUGGUGUGGAUAUGAAUGAUUAGUGUUGAUGGAGCUUGCGCCUCCUUUCUAGACUUCUUACCAAGCCAUUGUGCUCUAGGGGGAUACUAUCCCGGAUGGAUUCUUUUAUAUGCCUCAAUUAAGAGGACUUCAAUAUUCUCUCAUUCGUGAAUAUCGCCUUGACAAAUGUGAGCGUGCAGCUGAACAGGCAACAGAGCAAGACCAAGUUCGUGGUUAGCAAAAAGCCCUACCUGGGUUUUAUUAACCCACUUCAAUAUUUUCUCGUCUUCAACUGAAUCAAUAGUUAAUUCGAGCCCAUUGGUGUAAUUUUGGGCCCAGCUUAACUUCUUGUCCCUUUCUUUUACUAUUCCUUUUGGGCCCGAAUGCUAAUUUUUCUGGGCUGUUUGAGGGGUAAAAGGGCGAGAAUCCAAUUUUAUGUAUUAGAAUGAUCCAUGAUUCGUUCUUCAGAUAAUUAAGUGAAUUUUAUCUAUAUAGAUUCUUUUGCAACUUAUGUUUACUUUGAACCUUAAACUAAAUAAUAGAAGAUUCUUUAAUUAAUCCAUCAAUUACCCUUGAAUCCGAAUUAUAGAGUAAAGGAAAAGAUAAUGGAGAUUUCUCAAUCCAGUUCAAACAAUUACAUGAAUUGAAACAAGAAGACGUCUUAAAAGAAAAUUCAUACCAUGGACAUGGCAGAGCUACGAGAGAUAAGCGCAUAAGUUGGCAACUGGUUAUCAAAAGAAAAAGUAUGCAGAUUGUUAUCUUGAGAGUUUUUCAAGUGUUUUUUUUUGGGAGACAUUGCGUCUGGUUUUGGAGAGAGAGUCCUCUUCUUCUAAAGUAGACGUUCAUUAUUUAUAGAGGUGGAGGAACUUGUAAUGAUAGAAACUGUGACAAGACUUUUGGUUUGUGGUUCAAGAUCAGCUGCUAGUUUGCUGAUCUUAACCAGUUCAUAUAGGGAAUGAUGGAGGACUUCUAGCAUGAACCGUCGGUUUCCUUUGUGGAACUAUCUUGAUUUGACUUCUUUGUACUUGAAAAUCUGGCUGGCAAUUUCGAUCCUUUAUGGUUUUGGGGGCUUUAGUACAACUGGUUUUCUUGCUGGAGGAGAAGAAGGUCAAGUUGUCAUUAAAUGUGAUAAUCUCCUCCCAAGUGGGUUCAGAAAACACGCUUACCGAUCCUUUACUUUUAGCGCGAGAUAAAGGUCUGACUCCCAUGACUUAAGCCUUUUAAAUUAUUAUGAGAGGCCCAGUUGGGAAAAAGAUGACCUUAAGAAAAGACAAAUGCUGGUGGGCCUGGCUCUAUCUUUAAAAAAUUCUUUUUAAAACCUGAGACCAUUUUUGGCCCGUUUACCUAAAUUGGGUACAAACAGAAUCUAAAUAUAUUGAUAUAUAGAUAUGUAUGGCAAAUUAUUUCCAUGAGUGCUGGAUUGAUAUUAGGAUAAAAUAUGUUAUGUUAUUAGCCAACACAAAAUCAUGUGCACCAGUAGGUGUAAAACUUAACCAUGAAAGAAACAUCAAUCGGGUUUCCUAAAUUUGAUGAUGUAACAAAACCAAAACCAGGUGAAAUAAAAUUACCAAAUGACCAGCAUAUAAAAUAAUUCAUUUUUUUUUUGGGAAAUGUAUUUGAUUAAAUUUAAUGGGAUUCAUUUUAGUAAACAUACCCAGCAAAAUGUUGUCAUCGUGUGCGAUUUAGUCUCCACUACUGGAUUAUUGCUUAUCUCAGUUUGUAAAAUCACUGUAAAUGAAUCAAGCGUUAAUUUUAGUUUAUUACCUUGUGGUUACACCCUUAAUACAUGUUAGUCCCCAUCUUUUUAAUUUUUACAAUCACAUACCUCGAUCUUUUAAAUUUGUUACAAUGUAGUUUUGCCGUUAGGGUUUCUGUCAGAUAUCUCUAUUAGUUGCCUACAUAGCAUUGUGGGUCCCACAUUUUUCACAUUUUUUUAAUUUUAAAUUAAUUUAAAUAUGAAUAAAAUAUUAAAAACCAAAAAAAGAAAAAAAGAAAAAAAAUUCUCUCUCUCUCUCUCUCUUCUCCCGAUCAAGCUCCAACACCCAACCUUCAAACUCGUACCACAGUCACACUCCACCGCAGCGCAACUACCCAGCGCCCCCUUCCCCAUGACCACUGCCUUCCAACCCCCAACGAACCCAAAACCUCAACUGCCGGUCUUCAUCUUUCUCUCUCUCUCUCUCUCUCUCUCUCUCUCUCUCUCUCUCUCUCUCUCUCUCUCUUUUUAAAUAAAAAAAAUUCAAUUUUUAAAUGUUUUAUUCAUAUACAAUUACAUAUUUGCUUUAAUAUACUCAUAUGUGGUUAAAAUCCUGAUAUACUAUGCAUAAUUUAGACACACUGCUCUGACUCACCCGGAAUCAGUGCAAAUAAGAAAAUGAUGCAGUCUAUCUUGUUCUUCCUUUGAUAGAUAAAUCCACACAGACAUGCAAGAAGGGUCAAUGGUUGCAGAUAUCUGUCCUUUCCCUCCAACAUCGUUACAACCAACAACUGUUGUACCUCCUUAUUGCUUCCCUAUGCUUUCAUCACCAAGCAUGAAUGAUAUAGAUAAUUUAGGUGCUUCUUUGGAAGGCUUGUUCUUUUCAGUACUCACAACAACAUGUUCUUGCCCAUCUACCUUUGCCUUCCUUGGUUCCCUUAAUAUCUUGAUCUCAUCGUACACAACCCAGGCAAGUGUUUUGGUUUCCUAUGUUUCCGUUUAUGCCUUGGGUCAAGUCUAUCAAAAUUAGACCUUCUAGCUUCUUACAGGCACGUCACAUCAUGAUGGCAAGAAUUUUUGAAAGAUACACGCCAUAUUAGUGGUGGCGAGACACCAACUGUUUUUCCACAUCCGAUGUCUGGCAAUUAAUUUGGCAUGUCAAAAGAAAACUUCCCAACUUCUCAUUUUUCAAACUCUUUUUUCUGAAAAGAUCAUCACGCAAACUUCUUCUUCUUCCGCUGCCGUCACCUUUCAUUUUCUCAAAGACCCUGCUAUAUGGCUCCUAAACGCUUGAAGACUACAAAGGUUCCUACUGAAACUCAUAGCUGGAUGUCGGAGGAAGAAGCAACGAAGCAUGCUUUUGAAUUUUAGGCUGUUCUUGUGCAAGAACAAUCGGCGAGUUCGGUGAGGCUGUAUUCUUCUCUCCCACUGACGUUGAGAGGUCCUUAUAGAACUCCACUCUUGGGUCCUCAUCAUCAUCAGGCUAACCUGAAAAUUUGCUGGCUUUGGAUACUCGCUUGGUCCAAGCUCCAUUUUCCUAUGGUUUGGAAGACAUCGACUGGGGGUGGGAUGCGAACCUAGAGUGGUUGGGUUCAAACCUUGGUGUGCCUCUUCCUGAGGAUUUCCUUCCUUAGGCUGACUGGGUAGAUGCGAUGCUGCCCUUGUUUAGAGACAAAUGGAUACUGAACAGUAUCUUCCAUGCCAUCAUGCUGUCGAAACACCAAAUUAUUAUGAAUCCUUCGUUGAUAGGUGCUUCUCUAUGUCUUUGGGAUAGCACUUCGAAUUCUUUUGCUUUUGGUCCCGGGCCCAUGACUCCCACCAUUCUGGAUAUGGCGGCAUUUUUGGCUUUAGGCCCCACGGUCUCAGUAUCGAUGUCCUAGCAGAUUAUGAGAUGAAGAAUCGGAAGAUUGGGGUUCCGAUGAGGGCUAGUGCAUCCAAAAUUAUGCGACUGAAGACCUACUCUGGCUUUGUGAUGACAUACCAAGGUAUGGCUGACCAGGACCAAGAACAUAUGAUGUUUUUGCUUUUCUGGUUGAACAAAUUUAUUUUCCCCCAUGCUGAAGAGGGCGUGAAGAUCGAGUACAUGCAUCUGGCUAAAGCUCUUCAUAAUGAGUCAGAUCUGGCGAUGACCCCUUUUAUGUUGGCCUCGCUCUAUCAUUGUUUUUGUCAAAUUACCAUCAACCCAUUUAAUUUGAGCGUCUGUGGUCUUAUCUGGAUGGUCCAUAUAUGGUUAGAAUGGUAUUUCCCCGAACUAGGAAGUGCAGGAUCAGAGUCUCUUGAAGAUGUUGCUCCGGCCAUUGUUCUUCUUACGAGACCGAGAAGGCCGGUCAGCACGAAGGUGUGCUUUAUUUUCUUUAGGGAAUGCAAGCAACGUCCCAGGACGAUCAGGCUUCACUCUCUGCUUAGUGAUACGUUCUGGUUUGUAGAAAGAAGUCUUCAUGAAGCUCCUCGACACUGGAGGGAUUUGAUCGAUUUUCAGUCCCAAUUACAUGCUGAUAUAAGUGUCGCCUGUCCGGCGAGCAGAGAUCUCUUCUUCGGAGGGGUUCACACUGACAAUACAUGUGCUUAUGGGGUUGAGGCCUAUAAUCCCCAGUAUGUGGGUCGCUAGUUUGGACUUGUUCAGGCCAUUCCCGGAUUGAGGUAUAGUUCAUUGAAUAAAGGAAGUUCAUGGCAAAAUCUGUCUAUGACUCCUCAAGAGAUUAGAGCAGUGAGGGCUUCGGGGCGGAGCUGAGGUAAGAAAGUGAGGGUGCUGCCUUAUGACCCAUCUCUACUCUGUACUCCCUUAUUUCAUGAAUUUUGGGAGGAUAGAUUCUCAUCUUGGCUGCCUGAACCUGCUACGCUCCUUUAUACUUCGACGUUCCACAAUUGCCCUUUUGCUAGAUUAAUGACUGAACAAGAAGAAUCUUCCAUGCGGCAUAACUUGGUGCGUUACCAAGGUGAAGCUAUGCUAGGUGAAAGUGCACUAUCUUCAUUGUUUGUUUUUCGCCCUAAACCGGGUGUACCAUUUCUAACAACCUGGAUUGUUUUUGGUAUUCUGGCAGAAACUACUGCGGAUGAACCGAGUGAUCCUGGAUUGAACGGUAAGUCCUUGUGUCUUUUCUAUAGCUCAGAGUGAUGUUCCUGCUGCUGACGAAACUCAAGCCUUGCCCCCUGUUUCUGUCGUACCUCCUCAUACUUCUGGUUCGCAUCUUAGGUCUAAAGAUAAAGGAAAGGCUCCUUUGGAAGAGUAUGAUGUGGAAGAGAGUGAUGAAGACGAAGAUGAAAUGCCGCUUCAAAGGAAACGUGGAGCUUCUGUCCUAUCAACUCGUGAUGCAGACUUUGAUUCGGUCCCUGGAGAUGGUAUACUCUCCUUCCUUGGCCCUUUUUUAUUUUGGUAUGGGCUCCUCUUUUGCCUUUCUUAACGUUAAUUUUGUAAUUUCUUAAAGUUGGAAGUAAGAGGGCAAGGGUAGAAUCUUCUCCUAAUGUAGAAGAAACAUCUUUAGUGGGUCCAGAUGAUGUGCCUCAGGUUUGUCUUGAUUUAAUUUAAUCCUUGACUUCAAGAAAAGUUUUGGCCUUUUCUUAUUUAUAUUCAUAUUCUGUAGUGACCAGGUACGGAAAAGGUCUCCAGCCUUUUUGUUGUCAAAGAAUCCAAGAUGGUGACCCUGAAGGUGGGGACCAUUAAGCUUGAAGAAGCUGUUGAUCUUCCACCUUAUGAGCCAUACUUAGGCUGAGAUGUGGCUGCAGAAGGAAUGCUUUCGAGGAGAGACCCUAUUUUCCAGAGUCCAAGCAUGCUAAGAACUCAACCUUACCAGCGCAACGGGCAAGCGUAUUGUCAUGGAACUGAGACAGCCUGAUAUGGUACUUGCUAACGCAGUGGAUAAUCUCAAAUCUCUCUGGAAUACAAUCCGGGCUCUUGAUUUUGAUCUGGUGGUGGAACCUGAUACCUUAUUGGGAAUGAUUCUUCAUAUUCACCAGAUCGCUUUGGUGAAACCUCAUCUUGUCCAUGCAUGCGAUCAUCUAGAACAAUGGUUGAGCCGGGCCGUAAAGCACAUUUGGAUAACUAGAGAGAUUCUACCUACUGUGAGAGAUCCAGAUGAGAUUCUACCUGGCUGACCACUUGAGGCGUUUGGUACAUGAAGAAGACCUUCUACCUAUUCCAGAGGCAUUCCCAGAUGAACAAUUGCUGACCAUUGAGCUAAGUGAGCCAUGGUAUGCUGAUAUCGUGAAUUAUAUUGUGUCUAAACAAGUCCCAAGCACCAUAACUAGGCACCAACGCGAUAAACUUAAAAAAAUGGCACGGUUUUAUGUGUGGGAUGACCCUUAUUUGUGGAAAUAUUGCCCUGAUCAAAUUAUUCGUAGAUGUGUGCAUGAUUCUGAGUUUAAUUCAAUCUUAACCUUUUGUCACACUUAUGCAUGUGGGGGUCACUUUGGUACACAACGCACAGCACUUAAGGUUUUAGAAUGUGGAUUUUAUUGGCCUACUAUCUUUAAGGAUGCUAGAACUUUUUGUUUGACUUGUGAUCGUUGUCAAAGAACGGGCAAUAUAGGUGCAAAAGAUCAAAUGCCGCAAACCCCUAUCUUUUAUGUGGAGAUUUUUGAUGUUUGGGGUAUUGAUUUCAUGGGCCCUUUUCCUUCCUCAUAUGGUUUUAAUUAUAUCUUACUUGCUGUGGAUUAUGUUUCGAAAUGGGUGGAAGCAAAAACCAUCCGUACCAAUGAUUCCAAAGUGAUUGCAGAUUUUAUUAAAACUAACAUAUUUGCAAGAUUUGGAAUUCCAAGAGUACUUAUAAGUGAUGGAGGCUCUCACUUUUGUAAUCGGACCAUAGAGGCACUACUUAAGAAGUAUAAUGUCACACAUAAGGUUUCAACACCUUAUCAUCCCCAAACAAGUGGACAAGCCAAAGUUUCCAACCGGGAAAUCAAGCAGAUCUUGGAAAAGACGGUUGGACCAACUCGAAAGGAUUGGAACUUGCGUUUGAAUGAUGCAUUGUGGGGAUAUCGUGCUGCCUACAAAACACCAAUUGGAAUGUCUCCUUUUCAGCUCAUUUAUAGGAAACCAUGCCAUCUUCCAGUUGAGUUGGAGCAUCGUGCACAUUGGGCAGUCAAGACUUUCAACAUGAACAUUGAUGCCGCUGGACUUCACAGGAAAUUGCAAUUGAAUGAGCUUGAGGAAAUUCGGACUGAAGCUUAUGAGAACGCUCAUAUUUACAAGAAGAAAACAAAGGCUACCCAUGACAAGAUGAUUCGUGGUAAAACGUUUUCUGUGGGGGCAGAAAGUGUUACUUUUCAACUUUCGCCUUCAUUUGUUUUCGGGUAAGUUGCGUUCUAAAUGGAUUGGUCCUUUUGUUGUUACUAAUGUUUUUCCCUAUGGUGCAGUCCAAAUUCAAAGUUUAAAGACAGGACAUGAAUUCAAAGUGAAUGGACACCGUUUGAAGCCAUAUUAUGAGUGUUUUGAGGAGCAUGUAGUGGAAGACGUACCCCUCCAUGCCAUUGGCCCUAGUGAAGCUUAAAGGGAGGUAUCGUUCGGUUGGAAGAUGUUAAAGCAAGUGCUUCUUGGGAGGCAACCCAUGUGUUCAAAUAGAAAGAUAACGGAAUCUCCGGGGCUCUACAACCAGAUUUGCUCUCUUUUACUCCUCUUUAUUAUUUUUACUUUGCUAUGAUUGUCAGAGUGCUUUUAGUGAUUUAUUUUCGAAAUUCACCACCUGUCACUACUAAUGUUGUUUUUCACUGUUUUAAAAGUGUUUUCGUGCUUUAUUUAAAAUUUAUUAAUAAAUAAAUAACCAAAAGAGUCAAGAGUCGUUUUUGUUGUUUGUUUGUGUCUUAGGGUACCUUUUUUAAUUGCAUGACUGUUAAAGAAAGUUACAAACAUGGGUGGAAGUUUGAUAUGCUCUUUGGUUAAUACUUAGUUAUAGUUGUCAAUUACGAAUUCACAUGUAAUCACACACAAAAAUAAUAAUAAAUAAAUAAAUAGAUAAUCAGUUUUUGUAACAUGCUGGAAGGAAGGAACUCAAACUAAAACUACAACCCUGAGAGACUGAGCCUAUUCUUUGUUUGGAGAGUUAUUAAUCUUGAUAUUCUAGUUUUCUAAAGUCGUUGCAUGAUCUCAUUAUUUCUUUGCUUGGUUGCUACUUAGAAUGCUUUGUCAUCACUUUAGUUCCAAAUACUAGAACUCAUGCCUGUUCCAUUCAAAGCAUCAAAUUGAUUGCGUAACAAAUAACAAGAUGAAGUUGUUUAGUUACUAUCAGAGCCAAAAAGCCUUAUCCCUUGCAUAUGCAUUAUAGGUUUAACCCUUUUGAAGCCUUAUUUAGCCUAUUUUCUUUGUUAGAUUGCAUUAUCCCAACCUAGCCUAGUAUAAGAAUCCAUACCCUUAUUCUUAAAGAAUAAUGGAGAAUGACUUGUUGGGAAUUCCUUUUGAUUUACGAUUUGCAGAAAAACAAGCGUGGGGGAAGGAUUUGUUCCUUUGGCGUAGUGUUGUUUUGAAAAAAAAGAAAUUGAAAAAAAGAAAAAAAAAAGAAAAAAAGAAAAAGAAAAAAGAGAAGGGCCAAAUAUGUGAAUCUGACCCUAAAGUUGUAUAAAUCUCCCCUUUGUGCUAAAAAUUGGGUGCUAUAAUCACAAGUUGAAUUCCAAGUGUUGAUUUCAUUGCUCUGUUUACUAUUACUUUAAGAACCUUUGUUUAUCCGUAACCUUUCUUUGUUAGCCAAUACCUUAGCCCCAUUACAACCCUUAGACUUCUAUCUUGAUUGUUAUGUGUGUCAAUAUGUGGAGUUUAAAAUUGGUAUGAGCUUAUGGAAUCCCUGGUUCUCGCUUCUAAGUAGUAGCAUUCCGUUCAUGAGAUCAUAUACAUGUUUGUAGUAAUAAUUCCAUAAAGUGCUUUCUUUGUUAUAACAUAUGAGAGUGCUAGUCUACAUGUUUACAUCAAUCUUCUCACAUAUACUUAGUAUAGGGAGUAUAGUCAGAAAAUUUGUGUGAAAAUAAAGAGUGUAUCGGGUGAGGAAUUGAGUGAAUUCUCUAAGGUAUGUUACCACUUUCAAAUAUUGUUUUAAUUGAUUAAAUGCAAGCUAGUGAGUGGUUACUGUGAUUAAGUAUGAGCUCGAGGGUAAGGAUGGCUAAAAUCUGUGUGAGUAGUGAUUUUUAACAUGUCAUGUUUCAUUGGAAAUCCCUGAGGCAAUUGUUGGAAGGUUUAGGUUUUGUUUUGUUUUCUUUGUUUUGCUAGGGACUAGCAGAAGCUAAAUGUGGGGGAAUUUGAUAGGAGCAUAUUUAUGCGACUUUGCAAUCUUAUUUCUUUGCAUUUACUUAGUUAAUUCCCAUUUAUUAGAGUAAUUUAGCUUAUUUUCGUACUAUUGUAGGUCCAGAUGGCAAGAUUGGCAAGAAAGGGCAUUUUGGAGCAUUUUAGAGUAGUUUUGGACUUGGAAUGGAUAGCAUACGCAUGGGGCAAGGUGGAUGGACGUUUUUGAAGUUCAAAGAGGCUAGGAAUGUGCUAAAAAGAUGGGGAAAUUAAUUCAAGAAUCAGCUUCUGGGAGAAACAACCCUAACUGAUUUUAUUUUAUUUUACCUUAUCCUAAUCCUAAUCCUAUUCUACCUAAAUUCCAGCAAGAAAAAGGGGGGAUUAAUUUCAGAUUAGGAAACCUAAAAACCUGGUUCUAGAAGAAAGCAUUGGGGCCGCACCUCUUUCCUAAAAAGGUGGCACUUGGGCCCUAUCCUUAUUCAAAAAGAAAUCAGCCAAACAAAACCCUAAUUUCUAGGUUUUCUGCUGGGCCCUUUUACCCUAGAUCUACCACAUAUAUAAAGGAGGGGUUGGCGCAGGAAAAAGGAGUUCUUUGGUGCCGUAGCAAGAAAGGAGAAAGAGAGAAGAAGAACUUGGAGCCGGAACCUGCUGCAUCCAUUGGGGUUUUCAAGGUUCUUCCUUUGAUUAGUUUAAAUGUUUAUUCUAGAUUGCUUUUCAAUUAUUAUGAACAUGUGUGAUUGAAUCUCUUCUUAGUUAGAGGUGAAUUCGAAGCCAUGGACAUAUGUUUUAUAUGAAUUGAUUACUUCCAGUUAUGGUUUCAUAAAGUAUGAAUGUGAUUUACUUUUCUGUUUUAUUGAGGACUUAUUCUUGUAUGUUUAUUAAGGAUGCAUACUUAGUUUAUAUGCAGGGAUUUGAUGCUAGAAUAUAAGAGAAUUUCACCUAAUCGUUAUGAACUUAUAUUCACAAGUAGUAAAAGUCACUAGUGAUGAUUGCGUUAAGUAAAUUGCUGGCAGGAGUAUCAUGCUUUUCAUAGUUACAAAUGCCUUGUCAAGGCUUAUGAUUUUCAUAGAACUUAAUGAUCUUUGAUUUGUAUCUCUAUCAUGCUGUUCAUAUAGGGAACUUGAUAAGGAUAAUUUGAUUGCGUCGUUGAGUCCAAUUCAAUGAACUUAGGAAGGUCUGAGAGUUAAUUACUGCAUUCACAAUUAAUUUGGGACUUUGUCAUUCAUACUUUAUAGAAAGAGUAAUUGGAGAUCGAUUUGCGUGCAUAUGUUCCAUGUGUGGAGAAGAAUCCUCUAGCUAUCCCUACAUCCAUAUUUCAUUCACAACUUAGUUGUUUGCUGCUGUCAGUAUUACUUUAGUCUAAAUCAUCCAAAUCCCCCCCAACCAGUGUUCCCUUAACUUAGUUUUCCGUUUAAUAAGUUUAAUUUGUGUUGAUUAGCAUCCCUCCUAAUCCCCGGAAUAGAAUGAUCCCUACUUACUCGUACUACGAUUCUAUAAUUUAUAGGGUUUAAUUUGUGCAUUAGUUAUUUCUCACGCCAAAUUUUGGCACCGUUGCCGGGGAUUAACAAAAUUGCUAAUCUUUGCUUACGUCUUUCUUGUGUUUCUAAUUUUGUUUUGUUUUGUUUUCUUUGUUUUAGGUACUAGUAUAUGACUCGAAGUUCACACUCUGUUCGUGCGCACAUAUUGGACUUUGACGAUGAUUUCGAACGCACUUUGAGAAGGAAGAGGAAGCAGCCAUAACUCAAUCCCUCUAGUUCUAGUUCCGAACCUGAAUCUGAAGUUGAAACGGACUUGGAAGAGGAACAAGACAUGGCUGUAGACAAUCGAACAAUCAAGGAACUUUCUACCUCUGGAUUGGACAAUGCAGUCCCUCUUUGCAUUUAAUACCCUGGGGCAGCUGAAGGCAAGACCGAUGAGUUUAAAUUGAAGUCGAGUUUGCUACAUCACAUUCCCAAAUACCAUGGGCUGUCCAUGGAAGAUCCAAACAAGCAUUUGAAGGAAUUUGAAGUAGUAUGUUCAAGUAUGACUCCCAUUAACGUGGAUGGAAAUAUUUUGAAGAUGAAAGCUUCCCAUUCUCUCUUAUGGACAAGGCUAAAGAUUGGCUCUAUGAACUAGCACCUGGAACCGUUACUUCUUGGGAAAGUAUGAAGAAAGCAUUCUUAGAGAAAUUCCUCCCAACUUCAAGAGUCAUUCUUUUGAGGAAGAAAAUUAGUGGAAUUCAACAAGGCAUAGGAGAAUCCUUUCCAGUGUACUGUGAGCGUUUUAAGACGUUAGUUGCAUCCUGCCCACAACAUCAAAUGAAGGAAGAGCUUUUAAUUCAAUAUUUCUAUGAAGGACUACUUCCAUUGGAGAGACAAAUGCUUGAUGCUUCAGCGGGAGGUGCUUUGGUUGACAAAACACCAGUUGCUGCGAAGAUCUUAAUAGCAAACCGAGCUUUGAAUGCACAACAAUAUGAAGGAGUUGGAGGGAGAGAUCAUACACGGCCAAGUCAAGUUAAUGAGGUAAGUGCUAUUUCGGAACUUCAAUCUCAAAUGGCUAAUCUCUCUACUCUUAUUUCGCAGGUUGUUGAAGGAUCCAAAGUGCAAAGUACAGCCACUUGUAGCGUGUGCUCUAUGCAUGGACACCCCACUGAUCAAUGUCCUCAAUUAAUAGAGAAUGGGGGAUGGGAAAGUGCCAAUGCCGUAGGUUAUCAAGGCCAAAAUCAACUUAGGUAUGACCCGUUUUCAAACAUCUACAAUCCGGGCUGGAAAGAUCAUCCAAAUUUGAAGUGGAGGUAGCCUCAACAAACUCAAGAACAAGGUGGAUAUAGACAGCCACCUCCGGGGUUCUAUCAAAGACCAUUCGCACCACCACAACCUCAACCACAAACUGCCCAAUCAAAUUCAGGUUCGCCAUUGGAUAAUGGUAAAAUGCUUCAAGUACUAACUUUGACUCAAGGUUUACAAAAUCAAGCCAAAGAGAUGAGCAAAGUCAAGAAGCAAAUUGGGCAGAUGGCGAAAUUCAUGGGACGUCAUCCUGCUGAGAUGUCGUUCGGUUUCUCUUCUUGUCUGGAUUAGUUGCUCAUCAAUCUUCGCUCCUGUGGCGGAUAAUUCUAACUCACAUUCACAUUUGCACUUGCUACACAUUACGAUUCCAGCUGUAAUGGUGGCUUUCAACUUCUCUGGUGUUGCUAUAGUAACUUUCUUGUCCCCCUCUUCCCCGACAUCCAUAACAAUCUUCCUUUUGUUGCGUCUUUCGACCCAGUUAAUGCUAAUCAUAUGUGCAGGAAAAGGCUCAUUGUCCACUCUCAUGGUUGUUGGUUUGUCUACGAAGAUCUUGCCUUCGAUGAUGAGAUCCUGAAUGACAUCUCUAAAUUGAACACAGUUAUUAAUAGCAUGUGAAAAUGAAUUACGCCACUUACAGAACAGUUUGUUCUUCAGUUCUUCUAGCUUAGGAAAUAUGUGCUUCUCGUCGAGCUUGAUCGCCUUUCCUCGUAAUAAUUUGUCAAAGAUAUUUUCGACUUUUGACAGAUCGAAAUAGUAUGACUUGUGCUUUUGCUUGUAUGGAAUGAAUCCUCCAAUCGAGGCGGGGAUAUUUCGUUGCUCCUUCCCUGGCCUUACUAUCUCUUUGCAAGUGAUUGGAGUUUUCAUUUGAACGAUUUCAGCUAAUGCCACUUCAGGGCGAUAUCUUCUUCGACUUCUUCCUCCAAUGUUUUCAUUACUUCUACUUGAUGAAUUGGGUUCUUGUAAUACUCCUGCUUGGAGUUGUUCUUUCUUUGUAUAUCUUCCCUAAGUAGCAAUUCGUACUUGCUAGCUCUUCGUACUUGCCAGCUCGCUGGGCUACAUCCUGCAAAUCCAUGAAUUAUAUAUCAUCAAACUUUUUCCGAAGUGAUAGUCUGAGAGCAUUCUAUGCCAUUUUUAUGAAAUGUUUUUCAUCCAUAGGAAUUUUGCAUUUCUUUUGAGCUUUUUGAAAUGUGCGAUGAAAUCUAGCACUGUCUCAUGGUCCCCCUGCUUCAUAUCCGUGAGAUCGUUGAUGGUAAUCUCAGGUUCGGGCCUAUAAUACUGUUCCAUAAAUGCUCCUUCCAUCUCUGCCCAUCCUGUGAUGGAGUUCGGGCUAAGGUUGGAAUACCAAGUGAAAGCUUAGCCUAACAGAGAACUAGAAAACAACCUCAGCUUCAGGAGGGGUUGAGUUUCGAUUGCUACGCAUUGGGUCGAGAAAAGCCCUAUGUGUUCCAAUGCUGAUCUGUAUAAGUCUUCUCCAUUGAACAGACUAAAACUUGGGACUUUGAAGCCUCUUGGGAAAGGUAAAUCGUCAAUGUAAGCAGGAUAAGGCUUUUGGUAUGUAGGUCGGGCUGGUCUUCUGAUACCGGCCUGACCAUUAUAAAAGAGUUGCCUUAAUACUUCCAUUUCAUUACAAAUAUCCAUUUCUGGGUGGAUUCCAGGUGCAGGUUCGGCACCAGCUGGGGGUGCCUGCCCUACCUCCUCUUCGUCAUUAGAUUCCUAGAUUUGCUCAGGUAUCCUUUCAUUGUUUCGUCUUCCCCGUCCGUUUCCUCCGUUAUUGCCAUUUAUUAUGGGCGAUAUGUACCCUGAACCCUACCGGUUGUUGCCACCUGUCGGCGUGCAUGUUACUUCGGACUGGCUUUGGAGGUAGAGUGGCUUCACCAGUUUUUGGAGCCUAGUAUUUGGAUGGAGUUCCAAAUAGAGUGAGAUGCUGAUUGGCAAUCUUCUUGGGAGGGCUGAUCACCUUCGGCAUUUGUGGUGCCACAGAGGUGACAUUGAAUCCCAGUGGUUGAUCUACCAUCUAAGUGAGUCUCUAAUUGCCUUUUCCGGAGACGAUGAAUGGCCAUGACCACUCGUUUGCCCUGUGGAAUACCCUUGGGGGUUGUUUGGUACGGCGGACUGUCAUGGACUGGACUAAAUCCUGAGACUGUCUUGGAUUAGCUCGGAUUGGACUAAGCUGGAUUAAGUAUUGACCUACGUUUGGUGCUGCAUCGGACUAAGAAGCUGGAUUGUAAAAAUAGUGAAGACCUAUGUUUGGUGCUGUGUGGGACUAAAAAAUAAUUAUUUUAUAUUUAAAAAUAAUAAUUUUUAAAUAAUUAAAUGCAAGUUUUUUUGUUAUUAGAAUUACCAAAUUGACAAUAUACAUUUCUUUUCCUCCAAACCAAAUUCACAUGUACAUUUCAUAUGUGCAAAAGUUAGAAAUUUUCAUAUAUGCCAAAGUCAUCUACAUGACUCAGAAAUUAGAGGUUUAGUUCGCUACACACAAUUCUACCAUUAAUACAUACAAAUAAACAUCCACAAUUUCAAAAUGAAACUAAUAAGCCCCACAACCAUGAACCAUAUGGCUUUAAUGCUAGCAAAAUGUUAUACAAUUUGUGGUGUUUCCAAAAUGAAGCCAAUCUUUUCAAUGCAUCAUUUGUGGUGUUUCCAAAAAGAUAGAUGCAUCAAACUUAGCUAGGUCAUGUCCUCAAGCAUUGUCAUUAAGCAACUGCUCAACAAACACUUUCUUGAUAUCAUCAUCCAAAGACAUGAAUAUAGAUAUGUUUUGUGGCUUCUCCAAAAUGAGCUUUAGUGCUGCAUUUUGAUCUAAAGGAAAAAAUCCCAUUCUCUUGAGUUCUUUGGCAAUAUCAGAUCGAUCUAUUACCUUUUAUUAUAGCCUCAGUCACCAUGUGCAUCCUUUUCCCAGAUGCUUCAAACAAUUUCUCCAAUACAGUCACAAUCUUCUCUUCAUCACUUGAGCUUGCAGCUCUUUUCCUCUUAUUUUGACUGUUCAUAGAUUGGCUUCCUUCUAUGUUUAAAGACAUAGGAGAUGCAUCUUCCUGGACACAACUGUCACUAGCAUUAACAUCAUUAUUGCUUUGCUCUUCCAUUAUGUCAGCGGGGGCUUCAGCUCUUUGUCCGUUAGCACAAUCCUUUUCAAAGAUAUUAGAAAGUCUAUCAAACAAAGGAAAUGGUUUGCUCCUCCAUUCGGCUGCUUCCUUGUGGUGCUAUGAUAAAACAGGGCACCACUUAGCUUAUUUUCAAUAUGUUAAAAAAAAUAAUAAUAACAAAAGCAAGUUUAAAAUCUACACUCAUCAAACCCACUUGCCAUUUUUAUGUAAGAUAAAUAGCAAAAAUAUGUAAUCAUGUACCUGCACAUAAGUUUCCCAUGCAUCAUUACUAUCAACCUCAACACACUUUUUUAUAUCAUUCCAAGCAAAUCCACUUGUGUUUAUCAUGUCAUAGACUAUGCUAUAUUGCUUUUUCCACUUCUUCAAUUUGGAUUCAAUAUGAGGGCAUGCCUUUAGCCCCGAAUCAGGACAUUUAAUAUUCAAAGCCUUCUUCAUUUGGACCAUAGUACCAGAUUUGAAACUACCAGUCUCAUAGCGUUGGCUUGCAGCCACAAAAUCAUCUAGCACGGUCAAAAACGAAUCUUCUUCGAACUUGGACCAUGACCGCCUAGUUCCUUUCUUUCCUUGUUCAAAGUUUUGACUGUUACCUUCACUUUCCAUCCCUAAGAAUAAUCAACACAAAUAAAAUAAUACCACAGUCAAUAAUUGGAAUCUGCAAAGAAAACAUAACUUUGUUUCAAGGCAUGACUCUUCUUUAGUACAUCACAUAACCUUAAAAACAAAAUGAAAAAUAAAAUCAGCAAACAAAUUGAUAAAUUUUCUUUAAUACCACAAUCAAUACAUUGUUAAGGCCGAAUUAUCAUGCCUCAAAUACAAAUUACAAUCACAUAAAAAAGAAAACACCUUAAGAACUCAAACAUAAAUAACAAGAGUUGGCUAGUUAUUCGCAUUUCCUUGCCACUCAUUAUACAUUUGGAAUGCCAAGUCAUUCCUCCAAGUAGUCCAUUCAUCCGAUGCUCCAAUGGUGCCAACCAUAUCACCUUCUAUCACAUUUUCCGUCUCCUCAAUUUCAUUUAUUUCAUGCUCUAGCGGAUCUCUAGACAUCUCCCUCCUAAUGAGAUUAUGUAAAAGACAACAAGCCGUAAUGAUUCGACAUUGUGUCUUUAUUGGAUAAAAAGAUGGACUCCUUAGUAUGCCCCAUCUAGCUUUUAGCAACCCAAAACAACGUUCUAUUACGUUUCUUGCUUUAGCAUGCUUCAUAUUAAAAUAUUCUUGAUGAUUUACAAGUGUAUUUCCUUCUCUCCAUUCCGAUAGAUGAUACCUUGUUCCUCUAUAUGGUGCAAGAAAUCCCUCACCAUUUGUGUACCCACCAUCUACAAGGUAAUAAUAACCUAAUAACCAAAAAUUAAAAAUAAAAGAAGUCAAUUCCUGUUAUUGUGUGGUAAUUGUAUAAACUUACAAUUAUUUAUAAAGUGGACACUAGCUAAUGGCCUUACCGGUAGGAACUCUUAAUCCAUUAGGCCUAGUUAUGGCAUCUCGAAGGACUCUAGACUCGGAUGCGGAUCCCUCCUAACCCGGCAACACAAAUAUGAAUUGCAUAUCACGUAAGCAAACGGCCAACACAUUUGUUGCAAUUUCUCCCUUUCUAGUCCGAUAUCUCGGUUUUUCGGUUUCAGCUACUCGCACUUUAAUGUAUGUUCCAUCUAGUGCUCCCAAGCAAUUCUAUUUAAAAAAAAGGGUAAACUUUCAUUAAGUUUGUAUGCUGCACGGAUCAUAGAAAAGAAAGCCAAAGUAUAAUAAACAUACCUUAAACCAUUUCCAUCUAUGAUCUGUGCAGUUAUGACCUACAGGUUCCGGUACUCUCAAUAGACUACCUUGUAAUCUUAAAAUGCCUUGUAACAGGGAAUUGAAGUACCUACUAAUAGUCCCUCCUGAUCGAACAAAUCUAUUUCUAAUAGUACGAUUCUUAACAUGAUGAGCAAGCAUAUGCAAGAACAUACAUACUUGCUCCUCCACAGUCACCAAAUCGUCAUUCUUUAACCUUCCAUCCGUGCGAAGCAAAUCACAUAAUAAACCAAACGUCUUUAAAUCCAUUCUUAGUUCACUCACAUAUUCUCUAUCAUUGCCUAAUACACUGUUCAAAUAACGUAAUCGAUUCUCAUGUCUAACAAACGAACGGUCAUUGAGGGAACGUCUUUCUAAAAGUCUUCGAUUGCUUCUCAUAUUUUUUAGCAUCAUAAGCACAAGAAUCGUGCAAGCACACAUGGUCUCUAAAUGCCACAUCUCCAACAAUAAUAUCAACAACAUUCGUCUUUGAUCCAUAUCUAUUAAUCAAAAAAGAAAAGAAUUAUUCCACUUAACCAAUCCUACUGAAAGUAAAAUAACCCCAAAUUGAAAACAAAAAGUUUCAUAUAUGCAAAUAGAAACGGUUUAAUUAAUGCAAAGCCAUAAUUAAUACCAUUCGCAAAGUAUGAAAAAAUCACCCUAUAGACCAAAAAUUAUCAACCAAUGUGUGCCUAAUACCACAACAAAUAUGAAAAAAAAAGUUCUAGGAUUAUUUCACUUUUUGCCAAAAAAUAUUGCUGCUGAUUAACACCAUGUUAUUCAUUGCAUUUCCUUAUUUGAGAGAUCAAAACCAAGUGAUAUUCAUGGAGGAUGCAAAUUGCACUGUCAAAUGACAGAUACGCUUCAAAUAUUUGAAUUUGAUGCCCAAUAAUAAUUAAAGUUGAAAAAACAGGUCACAUGCGUUGUUUUGUUAUAUCUACCAUGGCCUUGACAAACAUUGCAUGUGCUGCACUCACUGUUAAACCUUAAACAUCGUUGUCAUGUCAACACCAUCACCAUGUUAAUUGAUUAAACUAUGUAUAAUUUGAGUCAUUGACCUUCAAACUAUCACAUUGAAUUCAAGACAAACAGCAUAUAAUAUGCCAAAAUUAAUUGCUACGGAAUAAAAUUUAAUCACGGGAAAUUACUUGACAAAUGAACUUCUUUUCUUUUUUGCUAAUUUGAAUGUCAAACAGCUGUUACAACACUAUGCAGUGCAGCAGACAAUAAGAAUGGCACAAAGACUAAAUGAACACAAAAGGCAGAGAGUAUGAAAUGAAAUGAAUGGCGCAAAUACUGAGUGACAAUUGACACAGUGGAAGGGGAGGUAGGAGAUUUAAUAGAGAUAUUAGCUAGGAGAAACAAAAAUUAAUAACUUUGAAUCUGCUUGCUGCUAGCCAGGACACCAUCGCAUCCAUUUUUUAUUUUUUAUUGCAUCCAUAUUUUUUUUUUAUUGACUUUGCUUUGACAUGGCCAAGGAAAAAGGAAAAAGAAAAUUGAAUCACCAAAUCACCAACCAAGAAAAAAGAAAAUUGGCAAACUCCAAAACUACAAAUCUUCCUAUGUGUAAUCUUUUAGCACUAAACCACAAGGAUGCAUCAUCCCACAUGAACUAGUAAGUAAUGAAAUCCAUUAGAUAGUAAUGAAAUCCAUAAAAACUGAAACAGUAAGUUCAAUAAACUCAAGAUUCAUGCCAAAAGUCUACUCUACUUCUGAAUUUCUAGGUUUUCUGAAAUACCCAAUUGCAAAUUAAUUGUCAAUUAACAUCAUACAUAUAUAUAUAUAUGUCACUACAGAUUCUACGAAAAAUUAGAGAAGAGAAGAAGAAAAUAACAGAGAAAAGGAAGGAGAGAUUCUCAGAGCACAGUCAAAAUUGUUAAGGAGAUUUGCAAAAAUCAAAGAGAUGGAAGAAGGAAUAAGAGAGGUAUCCAAAGGGAAAGACCAGAAUUGAACGAAGGAGAGGUGGAGUCGCAAAGAUGGAGUCGCAGAGAAGGAGUCACGAACUGGAGAGAGGCGUGUUCAAUAUAGCGAAGGCUUAUUUUUUGAACCCAUUUUGAGCUUCUCUGUAUAAGGAGAACAAGUGAGGCGUUUUUUUUACUGUUGGGCUCUACUAUCCCAUUUAAGUUAGUCUCCUUGCUAACCAAACAUGGGCUUCAGGUCCAAUAUAGCACAGUCCCAUUUAGUGAGUCAUACCAAACAUGCCCUUGUAUGACUAAGGGUGUUUUGGCAUUUGGCGGCAUCUCUUCUUCUUUUCGGACCAUUCGAUCUUCUUGUUAUGCCUGCAUGGCCCACUCGAAGAGGUAGCCUAAAUAUGCCCUCGUCUCGUUCCCUUGUAGGGUUGCGUUUAAAUGUCUUUUCUCAAUGCUUUGAGAUAGGUGAUUCAUGGAGUUGGUCAUAGCCUGGAAACCUUCUCUCAUGACUUUUUCGAGUCGUUCGAAAGGACCUCCGAAGAUGAUUCUAUCGAAUCGAAUUCUGCUAUUUCUUUAUUUUUCUCGUAGCUGGCCUGGGUGGAAUCAGCCAUGUAUAUUUUCUUUUUGGUCCUUCUCACCAUACACAGAGCAAAGUCCCACCAGGCAUACCAAAAAUUAUGUUGGUCCUUUUUUCCGUCCUUCGUCCCUCUUGCCAACCACGAGGGUCAGCUCUGCUUUGAGGAAUGAAGAGGAAUUGUUGGAUCAACACCAAUGCCUCGAUCGGAUGGUGUCUCUUGGCUCGUAGAGAGGACUCCUCCAAUUUCUGAAUAAAAUUGAAAGUUGAAUCAGUUUGCCAAAAGCGGACGGGCCCGAUCAAGGCUCUAUCUGCCAACUUCUUCUUAGUACUGAUGCCUUUUGUUGCGUAGGUGUGCCACUAUUGAGUAAAUAAUCAGCCCAAUGGAUAUGGUGUGGAUAUGAAUUAUUAGUGUUGAUGGAGCUUGCGCCUCCUUUCUAGACUUCUUACCAAGCCAUUGUGCUCCCGGGGGAGGGGGGGCGUGGGGGUUACUGGCCCGGAUGGAUUCUUUUCUAUGCCUCAAUUAAGAGGACUUCAAUAUUCUUUCCUUCGUGAGUAUUGCCUUGACAAGUGUGAGCGUGCACCUAAACAGGCAACAGAGCAAGACCAAGUUUGUGGUUAGCAAAAAACCCUACCUGGGUUUUAUUAACCUGCUUCAAUAUUUUCUCGUCUUCAACUGAAUCAAUCGUUAAUUCGGGCCCAGCUUAACUUCUUUCCCUUUCUUUUACUAUUCUUUUAGAGCCGCUAUCCCCUUUCAGGCCCGAAUGCUAAUUUUUCGGGGCUAUUUGAGGGGUAAAAGGGCGAGAAUUCAAUUUUAUGUAUUAGAAUGAUCCGUGAUUCGUUCUUCAGAUAAUCAAGUGAAUUUUAUCUAUAUAGUUUCUUCUGCAACUUAUGUUUACUUUGAACCUCAAACUAAAUAACAGAAGAUUCUUUAAUUGAUCCAUCUAUUACCCUUGAAUCUGAAUUACAGAGUAAAGGAGAAGAUAAUGGAGAUUUCUCAAUCCAGUUCAAACGAUUACAUGAAGUGAAACAAGAAGACUUCUUAAAAGAAAAAUCAUACCAUGGACAUGGCAGAGCUACAAGAGAUAAGCGCAGAAGUUGGCAACCGGUUAUCUAACGAAAAAGUAGGCAGAUUGUUAUCUUGGGAGUUUUCAAGUGUUUUUUUUUCUUUUGAGACGUUGCGUCUAGUUUUGGAGAGAGAGUCCUCUUCUUCUGAAGUAGACCUUCAUUAUUUAUAGAGGUGGAGGAACUUGUAAUGAUAGAAACUACAACAAGACCUUUGGUUUGUGGUUCAAGGUCAGCUGCUAGUUUGCAUAUCUUAACUAGUUCAUAUAGGGAAUGAUGGAGGACUUCUGGCAAGAACCAUCGGUUUCCUUUGUGGAACUUUCUUGAUUUGACUUCUUUGUACUUGAAAACCUAGCUGGCAAUUUCGAUCUUUUCUGAUUUUGGGGGCUUCAGUACGACUUGUUUUCUUGCUGGAAGAGAAGGAGGUCAAGUUGUCAUUAAAUGUGAUAAUCUCCUCCCACGUUGGUUCAUAAAACACUCUUACCGAUCCUUUACUUGUAGCACGAGAUAAAGGUUUGACUCCCAUGACUUAGGCCUUUUCGAUUAUUAUGAGAGGCCCAGUUGGGAAAAAGAUGACCUUAAGAAAAGACAAAUGCUGGUGGGCCUGACUUUAUCUUUAAAAAAUUCUUUUAAACUUGAGACCAUUUUUGGCCCGUUUACUAAAAUUGGGUACAAAUGGUAUCUAAAUAUAUUGAUAUAUAGAUAUGUAUGGCAAAUUAUUUCCAUGAGUGCUGGAUUGAUAUUAGGAUAAAAUAUAUUAUGUUAUUAGCCAACACAGAAUCAUGUGCACCAGUAGGUGUAAAACUUAACCAUGAAAGAAACAUCAAUCGGGUUUCCCAAAUCUGAUGAUGUAACAAAACCAAAACCAGGUGAAACAAAAUUACCAAAUGACCAGCAUAUAAAAUCAUUCCUUCUUUUUUUUUGGGGAAAUGUAUUUGAUUAAAUUUAAUGGGAUACAUUUUAGUAAACAUACCCAGCAAAACGUUGUCAUCAUGUGAGAUUUAGUCUCCACUGUUGGAUUAUUGCUUAUCUCAGUUUGUAAAAUCUCUGUAAAUGAAUCAAGCAUUAAUUUUAGUCUAGUACCUCGUGGUUACACCCUUAAGAUAAGUUAGUCCCCAUCUUUUUAAUUUUAACAAUUACAUACCCCGAUCUUUUAAAUUUGUUACAAUGUAGUUCUGCCGUUAGGGUUUCUGUCAGAUAUCUCUAUUAGUUGCCUACGUGGCACUAUGGGUCCCACCUUUUUCACAUAAUUUAGUUUGAAAUUAAUUUAAAUAUGAAUAAAAUAUUAAAAACCAAAAAAUAAAAAAUAAAUUAUUCUCUCUCUCUCUCUCUCUCUCUCUCUCUCUCUCUCUCUCUCUUCUCCCGAUCAAGCUCCAACACCCAACCUUCAAACCCAUACCAUAGCCACCCUCCACCACAGCGCAACCACCCAGCGCCCCCUUCCCUAUGACCACUACAUUUAACCCCCAACGAACCCAGAACCUCAACUGCCGGUCUCUCUCUCUCUCUCUCUCUCUCUCUCUCUCUCUCUCUCUCUCUCUUAUCUCUGCUUUCUGCCCCAUGACACCACCACCUGCAAACUAUAUCACACCCCAACCUGCUAUCACAUACCCACGAUCCCAGAAACCUAGACCCGAUUUCUUCCCCCCAACCCAGAUUUCUUCUCCCUCCCCUAAUUUCUUCCUCCCCUUCCAGUUUCUUACCUCACACAGAUUUAUUCUCCCCUCCUCUCUGAUUUAUUCUUCCCCACCCUCAUCCCAGAUUUUAAAAUAUUAGAAAAAAUUAAAAAUAAACGAAAAUGGAAAUGAACACCAAAACCCACAAACAACCACUCGUAUCUAAUCCGUCCUCACCACACAAUUCCUCCCUUCAAUUUGAUCAGCGCACCCGCAAAUAUCUAUGGAAGACGGCGGUGGCUAACAUCCCAUACGGUGGUGCCAAAGGUGGGAUAGGAUGUGAUCCAAGGGAGUUAAGUGUUUCAGAACCAGAACGGCUCAGCAGAGUUUUUUUUUUGUGGGUGGCGACAUGAGGGGUGGUGAUGAGUGAGGGUCCACUCUGGAGGAGUACUAUAGUAAGAGUUUUCACCCAAAAGAUACAUGAUCUUAUAGGCAUCCACACUGAUAUUCCAGUACCAGAUAUGGGGACGGCUCCACAGGUUCACCAUCCCAUAUUUUCCCUUCCAUACUUUCGAAGACUAAAUUUUAUCAACUUGAAUUUCAGACUGACUUUUUAUCAAUUUUCCCUUCUUCUUUUUUUCGGUUUUCGGUGUCUAAACAGACCAUGGCAUGAAUCUUACUCAAAAUUUCAUGGCUACUCACUUGCCGUAGUGACUGGAAAACCUACUGUGAGUAUAUAUGUUGGUGAACAAGUCCCCACCACAUUCUUCUAUUUGCUAAAAUCAUCAUGUUGGCUAAUAUUGUCUCUUGUGUAAAUUAGGAUCUUGGAGGGAGGAUCUCUAGGAAGAGAUGCAGCAACGGGAAGAAAUCGAGAGGAAUUUGGGGGAAGAAAUUGGAAGAAAGGAGAGAGAGAGUUAGUUUUAUUUUAAAUAAAAAAAUUCAAUUUUUAAAUGUUUUAUUCAUAUAAAAAUUUAAAAAAGAAAAAAAAUUGUGGGACCCGUAAUGCCAUGUAGGCAACUAACGGAGAAAUCUGACGGAAACUUAACAGUGGAACCACAUUGUAACAAAUUUAAAAGACCAGGGUAUGUGAUUGCUAAAAUUGAAAAGAUAGGGACUAACAUGUCUUAAGAAUGUAAUCACAGAGUACUAAACUGUAAUUAACCCAUGAAUCAAUAACCUGCAAUGAGUAACCAUUAAGACCUUCUGUUUUAAGAUUUUAAACACAUAAUUUACAACUUACAUUACAUGUUAUUGCAGCUUCUGUUAGUAGGUCAUGCGAUUCAUCCUUAUACACAGCCGAGUACGAUCCUUGCCACAAUGGAACCCUACUUUACAAUUACAUAUUUGCUUUAAUAUACUCAUAUGUGACUUAAAUCCUGAUAUAUUAUGCAUAAUUUAAACACAAUGCUCCGACUCACCCAGAAUCAAUGCAAAUAAGAAAAUGAUGUAGUCUAUCUUGUUCUUCCUUUGAUAGAUAAAUCCACAUAGACAUGCAAGAAGGGUCAAUGGUUGUAGAUAUCUGUCCUUUCCCUCCAACAUCGUUACGACCAACAACUGUUGUACCUAAUUGUUGCUUCCCUAUGCUUUCAUCACCACGCACGAAUUAUAUAGAUAAUUUAGGUGCUUCUUUGUAAGGCUUGUUCUUUUCAGUACUCACAACAACAUGUUCAUGCCCAUCUACCUUUGCCUUCCUUGGUUCCCUUAAUAUCUUGAUCUCAUCAUACACAUACCCAGGCAAGUGUUUUGGUUUCCUAUCUGUUUAUGCCUUAUAACACAUGUUUUCAAAUCAUGUGUGGAUUCAUUACUCUUUUCCCUAUUCUCUUUUUGAAUAAAUUCAAGAAGUUGUUGGACGUCGUUUGACAACUCAUCAUACUGCUUGUGUGCAUCUGCUACAAUGACUUUUGCAUUACAACACAGUUCAUUGUACAUCAUAGCCUACACCUAUGCUUCCUCGAGUUUCACCUUCAAUUUUGAAAUUUCAUCCUUUAUUAGCUUAUUUUCACUACUUAGAUUUUCCAAGUCCAUUAAAUCGCUCCUUCACCAACCUAUUAUUUGAACGCUCAUCCUCUAAUGAUGCGUUUGGAUGAGAGAAAUAAACUUGGAAUUUGACAAAAGUCAGAAUUUCUAAAUUGACAUGGACCAAUUCCUGUGUUUGGAUAAAAAAAAACAUAGAAAUUUAGAAAUUCUGAUUGGGAUAAAACAUGGAAUUUGGAGAUCAUAAAUCCCAACUUUAAAUUCUAUCUAAAAGUCGUCAUUUCUAAAGAGUGUUGCUAUUUCCACCCACUUGUUUUAUUUUCCCACCCGCCUUAUCUUCAAAAUUUUAAUGACAAAUUUACCUAAUUGUAAAAUGACUUCUGAGGAUAAAUUUACAGCCCUCUCUCUCUCUCUCUCUCUCUCUCUCUCUCUCUCUCUCUCACUCAUGCACCCACACCCAUAUUUUCUUUUAUUUUUUUUAUCUUUUUUCCAAAACUCACACCCUUCUCCAAUCAAUUUGGGGGGCUGUACAACCAUCUCUAUCACUAGUUCAAGUGUUGGUUUCGGAUGGUCUUCCUGGACCUCCUUAAUUGUAAUGCUUUGUGGGGAAUUUCUCUUAGCUGGUGCAUAGUGCCUCCGUAUGAAAAUUCCUCUUUGAAUGCUCUGCAUUUUGGUCCCAGUGGCGUUGGAACGAUAUAUAUGUAUAUAUCUAUUCAUUUUGGGUUUUGUCUAGUGAAGGAGGAAUGAGGGUUCAAAUUGGUGGUGGGGAUGGCUGCAGAUGGGAGAGGGAGAGGUGGAUAUGGCUGUGAUGGUCAUGGUGUUAAUUGUUGGGUUUUCACCAGAGGAGGAGGUUGAGGGGGGGCAGCAAGGGCAACUUGGGGUGAGGAUGAGCUAAUUGAAGAAAUUUUUUUAUAGAAUUUCUUUUUUAUUGUAAUGGAAAAUAUGAAAAAUAAUUAUAGGGUAUUUUAGGAAUAAUGAUGGGUGGAAAGAUAAAUAUGAGUUUUUUCAAAUUUACAUGGCGGGUGGGAAGAUAAAGUGGGUGGGGAAAUAAGACAAUAGGGUGGAAAUAGCAGGACUCUUUCUAAAAUCCCAAGAGAGAUUGAGUUAAAAAAAAAUAUAACUUUACAAAGAAAGGUUAAAUUCUGUGUUUUAAAUUCGUUCACCCAUACAAGAAACUUUACAAAUUCUAGAACAUUAAUUUCCAUCAUUUUAAAUUUCUUCAUUUAUGAAAUCCUUUGUAUUAAAUUUCCUCAUCCAAACGUAUUGUAAAAGUAAUAAACACUCCUUUAGCCUUUCCUCCAUAUCAAACUCAGAUUUUGUAGGUGUUAUGGGGGAAUCAUCAUGACCACAGUCGUUCACGACUCCAUGAAAACCAGUGUCUUGUGUGUGGAUAAGUUGGAACAUGUUGGGAGGGUCCAAUUCAGCAACUAUUUUCUGAAAUACAAAAAACAAAAAAAAAAAAGAUAUGUAAAUCAUGACACAUGGAACAUAUGUAUGGGAAAUCAAAAGACAAUUGACUCAAUCAUAUCAGCACACAUCCUUCCGCUACCUUUCCAGAGGCAACACUAGUGAUCUCAGAUGACAACCUUAAAUCUGUAGUGUUAGUCUCAGUUCCAUGCUGAAGUGCAGCACUAUGUGAUUUAUGCCUCAUAUUUCUAGCAUCUGGUGUUUUACGCAAAUCUUUGAACACCUGCUACAAAAUUAAUAAUAUACAAAAUAAAAAUUCAUUGAUCAAACAUGUUGAUGCUCAAAAUGGCCCAGCCAAUAGUGAGUCCAACUUAGUGAUUAGGUAUGCGGGGUCUUCAGCAGGGAAGAGAGCUGAGGCCCUUGGUGAAAUAUAGGUUGAUGGGAAACCUGCAGAAGACAAAGUGGGAGAAGCAAUCGUUAAGCUUCGGACACCGGUGUGGUGCCGGCCGAAGGCUCUCCGAUGCCUAAGUCAGUUACAAGUAGUAAUUCUGGUAGAGUAACAGUAAAAGUGGGAGAAUAGUUGUCCUUUUUACCUGGGUACUGUUCCCUAUUUAUAGGGAGGUGAAAGUAGGAGGUUUGCACAAAGUUCCGAUGUGGGACUUUGUGCAAGUCGUCGUGGUGGCGACACAUGUCCUGGAGAUUAGGUUUGCCAGCUGGGAGCUUCGGUAGGUGUCUGGCACCUCGGAAGUGUGUCUUCCUUCGGCACAGGAGAAGGCGUGGCUGCCUUGGUGCUAGUCACUUUGGUGCUGGGUCUGCUCGGUUCAUUAUGGUGUAAACAGUAGUCCCCCAAGUUUGCGGUCGAGAAGUAACUUCUGGGUUGGGAACUUGUGAGUUUUGUAAUUGUAACCGAGCAUUCCAGCUUCGUUGGGAGUCGUAGGGCACUCCCUAGUCCCCCAAGUUGGCAAGCUAGGAGUUGCGUCAACACAUGGUAGCUGGGUACCUGGGUACUUGGGCAUGUUGCAGAUAAGAUGGGAGCUGGGUCAGUAGGGGAGCCAGACCUUCGAAGGAGCCAGGUCUUGUGGAAAAUUUCGGAGACUCCAAUUCUUCCAUGGCUCUCGCCGUUCGGCAAGGGUCUAGCUCCCUUCUUCUUCUUUUCUUUUUUUUUUUUUGUGAGUGGCCGGGCCAUUUGGAAAUUUUGAACUCUCCAUAGUUCCUCCAUGGCCCUUGCCGUUCGGCAAGGGUCUAGCCAAUUUUUUUUUUUUUUUUUUUUUUGAGCUUCGGGAGCCAGGCCUUCGAGGGAGCCGGGUCUUGAAAAUUUUAGACUUCUCCACAAUUCCUCCAUGGCCCUUGCCGUUCGGCAAGGGUCUAGCCAAUUUUUUUUUGUGGGGCUUGAAAGGUCGGGCCAUGUGGAGAGAGCUUGAAGGCUUAGCUUGGAUUGGGCCUUCGGCAAGUGGGUGGACUUGGGCCCAAGCUGGGCUUAGGCAAGUGGUUGGGCUAGGGUUUGGAUUUGAGAGGAGGGGAAAAUUUUGGGGGUUUGCUAGUGCCGUUCGGCAAUAUGGCUAUAUAUUGGAGCAAGGUGCUUCGGCAGGUUGUGAGUAAGGUGAGGUCUUGUCUUGGUUCCGAACGGCAAUUUAGAGAUAGGGUGAGCUAGUUUGCCGAACGGCAAUUUGGAGCUAAGGUUGAGGGCAGCUUACGGUUCUCAAAGAUCUUGUUGGAGUGUGCCGUUCGGCAGGCAAGAAGAGUUGGAGUGUUUGCACGGCUAGGUUUGUUGUCGUGGAUUGGAACAGCAGUGCGUUCGGCAAGGCGGCUCAGCAGCUGGAGUUCGGCAGGUGGUCUUGCCAUUCGGCAGAGGACUUGGCGGCGGCUGGGUGGUCUCGAGGCUGGCGACUUCGGCAAGUGACGAAGGUCUUCGGUAAGGCAGCUUCGGCAGUGUCGAGCUGUGCCGCAGCUGGAGCAAGUUUUGGUUUUGUUGGGACCUUGCCGUUCGGCAAUAUUGAUUGGGAAGUUUUUGUUUUCAGUCUUCGGCAAGUCCUGUUUAAGCAAGGCAGCAGCACCGAUUGGAUUUGGAAGAUCCUUGCUGUUCGGCAAGGCUGGGCGGCGGCACCAAUUUUGAGUUUGAAGACCCUUGCCGUUCGGCAAGGGCGAUUGGCAAGGUCAGCGGCACCGAUUCUUGCUUCGCACAUCUGGGUGGCUAGCCCUUGCCGUUCGGCAGGUCUUUGGCCACUGUAGGCGGCGUCGAUCAAAGCAAAGGUUGUGGGCAGUUGCUUCGACAAGCGGCAGCAAGGCAGUUGGGAGCACGGCUUCUGGCGAAGCUGGCUGGACAGUUUUGGUGAGCACGGCGUCGCGCAAAGAGAGCUGGCGGGGUGCGGAACCUUCGGUGCGUUAGAGCGGAGCUAGACCGUCCAAACUCGGCAGGUGAGUCCCCCAUUUGUUGCUUCCCGGGCCUUGCCGUUCGGCAAGUCCAGCCAUGGUAUAUGUUGUGAAACGUAUUUGGGUGCCUUGAUCAAAUUUGGCCUAGCCUUGUACUAGGGUUGGGCUUAGGAAAUGGUCUAGCACACUUGGAAUUGUGGAGACUCCGUUUUGUGUUUGCACGGGCCUUGCCGUUCGGCAAGGUCCCUAAAUUUCUCCCGAUUGUAUUUUGUUUCUUGUUUGUAUAUUUGAAAAUUGAAUUUCAAAUUAUGUGUAGGUACAAGGGAUUUAGGAGGGAAUAUGAAAGGGUGCUAGGGUUUGCUCGUGAAACGAGGCGUGGGUACCCUUAGUUGGCUACAAAUAGGAACUUGGAGUGGUGAAGGCACCACACUUGAGUUGAGUUGAGAAAAAUUGUGAGAAUUUGAAGGAGAGGAAAGGCGAUUUCCGGCGAUUAGUUUGUGGUGGUGCUUGUGGCUGAGGUGAUUUCCGGCGAUCCAUUCGUGGUGCUACGAACAAGGUUAGACCUUAUUUCGCUAGAACCUUUGAAUUGAAAUGUAUUGUUUUGAAUGAACAUGUUGAAGGCUAGGAAGAACACAUUGAACAUGAGCAUGAACAUGAUGAACACGUUGAACAUAUGUAUGAACAUGUAGAAUUCUUGCCUGGUAUGAAGAUUUGGCAAAUUUUUGUUGUUGUGGUUCGAUCCUCCUUGCAUGUGCAUUAGUUCCUUUUUCUUGUUUUUGGCAAAUUGUAGAUGUCUGAAAGUUCUGAUAGAGAAAGUCCUGACCCUCCUGCCUUUGGUGGGGAUAACACUGAGAGUGAAGAGCCCAGCCAAUAUAUAUGUUCUGAAGAGGAAAGUUCAGAGACAGAGGGUAUGGUAGAAGGAACCAUAGAAAGUAGGAUGAUAGGGCCUGGGGGUGAGAGGGCUGAGCCAUCGGGAGACUCUGGGCCGGCUGCAUAUAGGGAGAUGCAGAGAAAUUAUAUAGAGUUAGAGGCUAUAGCAAAUCGGGUUCUAGCCUUGCCUCAAACGCAAGAAGUGGGUUCGAGCAACCAGGCAUCACCAUCAGGGUCUGUGGGUAUAGCCGUGGCUUCGGUAUCAGAGGGAUUAGACAUCUGGGUUGGUGUCCCGUUGCCACGGCGGAAUACACUUACAGAAGCGAAAUUGGCCCAGCUACGAACAGAUUUUUGUGUGCCAGCUUAUGUGGGCUUGAGGUUACCCACGGAGGCUGAUGUAGUCAGAUAUCCCUCGGAUGGCUCCGUGAUGAUUUUUACAGAUAUGUAUCGGCAUGGCUUCAGACUACCGUUUCAUCCGUGGGUUCAGAUGAUGUUGGCCAAGUUGGGGUAUGCACCGGGGCAGUAUAAUCCCAACUUUUGGAUUCUUCUUCAUGGGGUGUACAUCGCGUGGUGGUUGGCUGGGUUGGGGGAGCCAACGUUCGAGCAGUUCAUGUACUUGUAUUCUAUUUCGAAGCAGCAGGGGAAUUUUGGCGGGGUACAGGCGAAUUGCCGAAAGGCGAAGGAGAGAGGCUAUUUUAUUGGACACAAGCCAACGACGCAAAAGUCCUGGAGGAACAGGUGGUGCAUGGCUUAUGGGAACUGGGAGAGUCCGCCAGGGAAGAGCGUUGUCCAACACAUUCCUACCCACUUCUAGUCUAUAGGUCCUUGGCCCCAUCCCUUAAGAUUGUCUAAUGCUUGAUUGUGUUGUCUUGGCUCCUAUUUGUGGUUCUGUAUUUUGUCUGUGCCAGUAUAAAUGGCUAAGUAGUAUCUAACCUUUGGUGCAGGUUCAGUGAAGUGGGGGCCUAUCUCCAAGGAGCAGGAAGACGAGGUUGAGUGGGUGAGGGCGCAGCUGUCAGAGACUGAGCGUGAGUGCGAGAACCUAGUCACGCAGAAGAAUUUGUUUGAGUCCGGACUCCUUCAAGGAAGUAAGUACCUGGGUCACACUUAUGAGUUGUGUGCUGAGUCCUUUGUGGUUGUGAC